UGGAAUACACCUUGGUACUCAAAAGAGAAACAAUAUUAAAAUACUGAGAAUAACAGAGUCUAAAAUAGUUUAUGUACUAUUAACAGAUCAAUGUGCAAAACCCACUAAUAACAGGGUAUUGGUACACAAUCGAACUGGACCACUCUUCGGUCUGUUUUGCAAAUUCAUGCAACAACAAGGACCUUAUUGCACAAUAUCGAAGGGAUAAGGUUCCUUAUCCACUUGUUCUCCUGUGCGGUUACUGCAACUUUCGUUCCCCUCGGGCUCGCCGGCCACGGGCGGCAGGGCAGAGAGUAGCGCAGAGGCCUGGCACAGGGCACAGGUCAGGCGGCACAGAGGCCGUGGGCUGGGGCGCGGCGCGCGGCCAGGGGCGGCCACGACCCGGGCGGGCGCGGCCAGGGGUGGCCACGACAUGGUGCAGCGGCGGGCGUUGUCGACAUAGAUGGAGCCGGUGCGCGGGGGAUCCGGCGGCGGGCGUGGAUGGGCGGUGAGCUGUGCGCCGCGUGCCAUCCCGCAUGGAGCCGGGACGAGAUUGGACGGUGCGUGUCGUCGUUCACCCCGACGGGGCCAAGGCGAGAGUCAUCGCUGACUGUUCCUAAGGAAGGGUGACCAUAAUUAAGGAUUAGCAACUGGCUGCCGCCACCCGUUUCUUUGCUGAGGCAGAAAGCGGAAGGCCAUGUCUGCACCGGAGUUCGCAUCCGCGCGCGUGCAUUAUAUUAAUGAGGAUGACGAAGGUACUAUCCUCCGAGACCGAGCCUUUUCUUCUUCUGUUCUUUUUGUUUGUAGUUCAUGAUUGAUCGAUUCUUCUUGAGAUUCGCGUGAGAAUACAUACAGGAAAGAAAACCAUUCAUUGUUAGAUUAUUAAUUGAAUGCAAGAAGACAUCAAAUUGGCAAUCAUUCUACUGAUUAGUUUCUUUCCUUUUGUACGAGGAACACUUCGUCUUCGGUGAAUCGCAUGGUGGCCGAAACUCCAGCAACCAACUUCUGCCGCCAUCUUCGGGGGCAAUUGCAGAUCGCCGGAGUGGCAUCCGGUAGACGCUAGCGUGGCUGAUAACGUGUAAAGAGUGAAAGAAGAGAGGAAGAGCAAAUGAUGAAAAUCACUGUUUCAUUGAUUGAAGAUGUGAGUAUAUAUACCCAGUACAAAGGCGGUUACAAGGAGCAGUUGCUAAACUAAAGCAACCAACAUAGCAGGGAUUAUCCCUUAAUUAAUGUAUUUAAUUAAUUCCUAACGGAGUGUUUCAGAGGGGGCAGUUCGGCUUACCUGAGUGUACGCCAUUAAUUUGUAUCAACCCGAGUGCCAUGUCGCCGGGUUGACAGCAUACACGUAUGUAAGCUGAGUCCUGCUGGUUCGUCGUGUGCCCUGUGCUUCUUACUCGGCAUAGGUUCACACAAGCUGAGUACCCAUGGUUCAGCACUUGGCUUAAUCAAGGUUCAAAUAACAUGCUCAACAUCCAGGGGCAUUUUAGUAGAUUUUCACCACCAGCUACGGACUCAUGAGGGGUACUAAAAACAGCUGCCAAACAAGUUUGUUUUUGAGGUAAUAACACCAAUGGUGCCCAAACUUAUCAUGGAUGUUCAUUUUGAUGUCUGAACUUGAAAAAUACACGAAUUGGUUUCAAAACAUGACAAUAUGGUUCAAAUACAGUUCAAAUCAUGUCUAGAUACAUAUGUAUUGCUGACUAGACAUGCCAGCUUGGCGCAGGGCCCACUUGCAGUUCCGGAUAGACUGACACAAAGAGUAUGUCUCAUUGAUCAUCGGGUCCCACCUGUUAGUACACAACUAUAAUAAACAAAAAAUGAUUAGGCUAGGAUUCGAACCAGUGGACUGUGCUACACGAACGACCUGCGUAACCACUUCCAAAAGGUAAAAUUGUUGUCUAUUCAUCAUCACUAGCAUAAUUUAUCUACCUCACAAGACCGUGAAAUUAAAUGGGGUGAAGUUAGUGCAGCCCAUUUUACACUGUUAGUUGUUUUUUUAUUUUAGAAAUUACAAGAUAUACAGGUAGUAUAUAAAGUGUUUAUGCUUUUAGGAAAUGUAUUUCUAGUUGUAAAAAUGUCCAUGUAUUUUAAUAAAGUAAAUGUGUUUGUCAAAAUAUAUAUAUUUGAAUGAAAAUAAAUUUUAAAAUAUGUGUAAAAAAAUAUAUAACAGCCUAGUGUGCCCCAAGGAUUUUAUACAUUCUUAUAUUUAAAUUAACACAUUUUAAAAUAUGCAUACAUUUUUCUAGUUAAAAAAUAUUUAAGACAAUAAGAUUCUAGAUUUAUCUUGAUUACUAUUACAAUAUUUUACAUAUGUUCUAAAAUUUCUAAAAACGAAAAAAGUUCACAUGUGGAAGGGUCACAUAAAAAGGAAAAAACUAAAAAUCCAAAUAGAGAGCACGUGGAUAUAUUUUUAAAGAUGAAGAUUUUGAAAAUUAGAUGAACAUUUCAAAAUGUAUGAACUUUUGGAAAUUGUAAAACUAUUUUAUUAUAUAUCAAAAUCCUUCUAAAAAUUCCGACAACGUUUUAUUAAUUUUUUAUUAUUUUUUAAAUUCAUUAUUUUUUAAAUUAAAUUUAAUGUUAUCUUAAUAUUGUAAUUAUAGUUUGAAUACUUUUGUAAUUUUUAAAGAAAAAAAACAACUAACAUGUGGAAAAUGGGUGACACUCAUUGCACCAUAUUUAACUUCACGGUGGAGUUAGUUAAAUAAACAGGAGCGGUAUGUAGUAUACAACAAAAUUACCUUGGUUAUGUGGUUAGGGCGGGUCAUUGAUAGCAUACAUGUCAUUUGUUCGAGUACCAAGAUAUCUUUAUUUUUAAUUAAUUUCAGUUGUUCACUCACAGGUGAGACCUAAUGGUCAUUUAGUCGUACAAUUUUGAUGUUUGUUUGUUCGUCACUAUAAAUGGCCCCGCGUCAUGCUGGCAUGCCUAGUUAACAGUACAUACGUAUCUGGACGUGAUUUGAACCGUAUUCGAACCAUACAACCAAAUUAUAAAACCAGGUUGAUGUAUUUUUUAAGUUCAGACACCAAAGUGAUCGUCGAUGGCAAGUUUAGGCGCUACUAGUGUUGUUACCUCUUUGUUUUUUGUCUUCAUCUUCUACUAGCUGGCAUUGCUUUUGAUUCAGUCGCAACCCAAACAAACAGAGUCUAUAAGCAACUUUUACAAGUAGAAGAAACAGACAACUCAGUAGGAGAAGAAGAACGGUUACUCAGAGUGCGCGCGGUGGAGCACCCGGAGCGCACCGGUUGGCGUCCUUGAGAGAGAGGACAGCUCUUAGGAUGGGAAUGAGCAAGCCGAAGGCGGACCCGGAGGUGAGGAGGUACGUGAGGUUGUUAUAGACGAACUUGUGCAGGGUGAUCCUCACCGUCCGGUCCUGCUGGUAAUCGCUGAGCCGCUGCAGGACGCGAUCAUACUGUCCUCCCUUCCGGAGGUACGGGCAGACGGACUUGAAGAAGUCGAGCGUCUCCUGGUCGCUGAACACCGGGUACAGUAUGCGCUUGGCGCGCAGCUGCCGGACGUCAUCCUCGCGGUUCAUCAGCUGCGGAGGAACUCGGGGACCAUCUGGAUGCUCGGCUUGCCUCCGCUGAUGAAGCUGCGGUCUACUAGUUUCCUAUGUGGACCAGUGGUAGAUUGGAUGCUAUGCAGUACGCUAUCCAAUCCAGUGUCGUUGUGGGGAUCCAUCUCCCUCGCUCCUUACAAAGAUUUCACUCGUCUCUUCGCUCACCGCACUAGUGGCCUCUUCUUAAGGCCACUUUCAAUUGCUAAGAUGAGCUACUAAGCACAUUAAAUAGUUUAGCAACUAAAGUCUGCAAUGUAUAGUUGCUUUGCUUAUUAUAGCUAAGCCUCCUUAUUUAAUGCUUUUUCAACUAAAGUUAUGAAUGCAUUGGUGCAUUUCAUUCAUUUAAUUAUUUUAACUAGGUUCACGCGCUUACCAUUUGUUUCUUCCUGAAGUCACCAUACUCAUCUCUCUUCUAUUAAUUAGCUUGCCACAUCAGGUUUUUUACCUAUGUGGCAGUCUUAGCACCUGUAUAAGAUGGAGCAUUGGGAGUAGCCUAAGUCUGGUUGUAAUGGGUAGUAUUAUAUACUAGUAUAUAAUAUAAUAUGUUAGUACUCCCUUCGUUUCUAAAUAUAAGUCUUUAAAGAGGUUUCACUAGUGGACCACAUACAGAUGUAUAUAGACAUACUUUAGAGUGUAGAUUCAUUCAUUUUGCUCCGUAUGUAGACCCUUAAUGAAAUCUCUUAAAAGACUUAUAUUUAGAAACGGAGGGAGUAUCAUAGAAUAGUUCAUUUAUUGUCAUGCAAGACACAUAAUAACACAUCAUUUAAUAUGAUACGUUAUCAUGAUAUGAUACUCAACCCUCUUUUUCUUUAUUUAAUAAUAUGACAUCUUAUCGAAAUUGCCUAGUUAACAUAUAUAAUACUAUCUAUGAUACUCCCAUUACGGGCAGCCUAAGACUAAGACGGCCAUCACGAAAGUGUUUGCUGGCUGCCAUGGCGCGUCCAUGGUCAACCGGCAAACUAAUUAAGUAUAUCAAUAUAUUUUCACAGCAAUCAAAGCGUCCAAAUCGAAAAUGAAUCUGACCCUCGAGAUCCAUGCUUGUAUUUACAUAUGUGCUUAGGAGUAUUUUGUAUUCCUGCUAUUUGAUCAUGAUAACGUUGGCAACAUUCAAUGAAGCUACACCACUGGUAGUGGGUAAGAUUCCCAUUUAAUGGCCCAACGGUCGUCAGCCAAAAUCAAAUCAAAGUAAUUAGUUGUCUAGUUCUUUCCAUUAGUGGACCGUUGCAAACAAAUAGUCAGUCUAAUCCCGGCUACAUCCUACCGUUGAGAGUUUACAUCAGAUCUCGAGCAUCUUUACCCGGACCCCAAACCCCCAUAUAUCUACACAGAUGUGUAAAUCACAUAUAAAUAUGCCAUAAGUAUUACACAUCUAAAUUCUAUGUCUUUUAUCUUAUGCGAAGAUAUGUGUGAGUGUAUUUUUUUUCUUUUUAUAUUUCUUGUUAUGCUUGAUUGAGUCCUUAGAUGUACAAUAACUAGCGUACAUCAAAAUGUGUCCUACACACACCCCAUAUCUAUACCUACUACUCCAUUUGUUCCUAAAUAUAAGGAAACAAAAAUAUGAAAAAAAUGUACAACUAAACAAGUGUGCGAUCCGUCUGUGUGUGUAAAAUUUCAGACCAAAAUACUUUAAGACGCAACCUGUGCAAAAAAUACAAAUUCAUGGUCUGAAAAGAUGAAUAGUGGCUAUUAGAUUUUGCUUUGCUCUUCUUCAUGAAAUGCAGGGAUUCAUAGGCACUAAUAAUUUUGUAUGUUAUCAGCCUCCCUGAAACAAAAGCAGAUUGUUUUUCUGAAAUAAUCUUUAGUAGAAUAAGCUUCAGUCUAUUCGCCACAACAUUUGAAGCAAUCUUGUACAAGACAUUACAAAGAUUGAUUGGCCUAAACUGAGAGAGCAAGGUUGGGUUCAAUACCUUAGGAAUAAGCAUAAAAAAGGUGUCGUUGAUACACUUGGCAUUGACAUCUCCCUUGAUAAUCUGCAACACAGAAUUGGUGAUUUCUUCCCCCACACACGUCCCAGUGCCGCUGAUAAAAGUGCGUAGGAAAGCCAUCUGGGCGAGGAGAUUUUGUAGGAAACAUAUGAAACAAAGGCACUUUGACUUCUUCUCUUGAAUAUGGAGCACAAAGCAAAUCAUUCAUAUCACGAGUGACUUUCCUUGGUACAUGUUGCAGUAUCGCCUCCAUAUUUGUUACCCCCUCCGAUGUAUACAGGUUUUUGUAGAAAUCUAAGACCAUAAUCUUCGAAGAGGUCGGGUCAUCCACCGUCAAACCCAGAGAGUUGGAUAGUGAUUUAAUCAAUUUUUUCUUCCGUCUAAUACUUGCCCACAUAUGGAAGAACUUAGUGUUUUUAUCUCGCGCUCACAACCAGUCAAUUAUUCAGCGUUGGCGCCAGAGGAUCUCCUCCCGAUGAUACAACUCCACCAGUCUCUCAUGAAUUUUCUGUUCAGGAUGGUUUGGACCUGACCGCAAUGGGUCAGCUCCCAACCUCGUCAGCUGAGAUUUCAGGUAUUUCAUUUCUCCUUUAACAGACCCGAAGGUAGUUUUGACCCAGCGUUGGAGUGUUUGGGCCAGAGCCUGAAGCUUCUCCUUAGUCUCUUCCAGACGCAGGCUUGGUUGAUCAGCAGCCCAUGCCUCCUUCACCUUGGCCAUUAGAUUUUUGUGAGACUCCCAAGCCACUUCAUAACGGAAAAUUUUGCUAGAAGAUCUUCUUAGAUUUGCAUCUCCGUCCAUCUCAAGGAGAAGGGGAGAGUGGACAGACGUAGCCGCCUCCAAAUGUUUCACAGCUGCAUUAGGGAAGCGGGUCAUCCACUCCACUGUUGCAAGCGCUCGAUCAAGUCGCACCCUAGUAUAGGAUCAUCCCGCAACUUUCUUCUCAAAGGUCCAAAACCUCCGUGAAAAACCCAGGUCCAUCAGCAAGCACACAUCAACUGCCUCCCUAAAGAAUGGAAUCUGAGCAUUGCUUCGUUGUCCAACAUCAUCGUGUUCUUCUGGGCUGAGAACUUCAUUAAAAUCNNNNNNNNNNNNNNNNNNNNNNNNNNNNNNNNNNNNNNNNNNNNNNNNNNNNNNNNNNNNNNNNNNNNNNNNNNNNNNNNNNNNNNNNNNNNNNNNNNNNNNNNNNNNNNNNNNNNNNNNNNNNNNNNNNNNNNNNNNNNNNNNNNNNNNNNNNNNNNNNNNNNNNNNNNNNNNNNNNNNNNNNNNNNNNNNNNNNNNNNNNNNNNNNNNNNNNNNNNNNNNNNNNNNNNNNNNNNNNNNNNNNNNNNNNNNNNNNNNNNNNNNNNNNNNNNNNNNNNNNNNNNNNNNNNNNNNNNNNNNNNNNNNNNNNNNNNNNNNNNNNNNNNNNNNNNNNNNNNNNNNNNNNNNNNNNNNNNNNACAGUGUUGGAAAUAUGCCCUAGAGGCAAUAAUAAAAUGGUUAUUAUCAUAUUUCCUUGUUCAUGAUAAUCGUCUAUUGUUCAUGCUAUAAUUGUAUUAACAGAAAACAGUAAUACAUGUGUGAAUAAAUAGAUCACAAUGUGUCCCUAGCAAGCCUCUAGUUGGCUAACUCGUUGAUCAAAAGAUGAUCAUGGUUUCCUAAUCAUGGGCAUUGGAUGUCAUUGAUAACGGGAUCACAUCAUUGGGAGAAUGAUGUGAUGGACAAGACCCAAUCCUAAGCGUAGCACUAGAUCGUGUUGUUCGUAUGCUAAAGCUUUUCUAAUGUCAAGUGUCUUUUCCUUCGACCGUGAGAUUGUGCAACUCCCGGAUACCGUAGGAGUGCUUUGGGUGUAUCAAACGUCACAACGUAACUGGGUGACUAUAAAGGUGCACUACGGGUACCUCUGAAAGUGUUUGUUGGGUUGGUACGAAUCGAGAUCGGGAUUUGUCACUCCGCGUAUCUCUGAGCCCACUCGGUAGAACAUCAUCAUGAGCUCAAUGUGACUAAGGAGUUAGUCACACGAUGACGUACUACGGAACGAGUAAAGAGACUUACCGGUAACGAGAUUGAACAAGGUAUAGGUAUACCGACGAUCGAAUCUCGGGCAAGUUCUAUACCGACAGAUAAAGGGGAUUGUAUACGGGAUGGAUUGAAUCCUUGACAUCGUGGUUCAUCCGAUGAGAUCAUCAUGGAGCAAGUGGGAGCCACCAUGGGUAUCCAGACCCCGCUGAUGGUUAUUGGCUGGAGAGGUGUCUCGGUCAUGUAUGCCUGUCUCCCAAACCCAUAGGGUCUACACACUUAAGGUUUGAUAACGCUAGGGUUAUAGGGAAUUGUUAUACGAGGUUACCGAAAGUUGUUUGGGGUCCCGGAUGAGAUCCCGGACGUCACGAAGAGCUACGGAAUGGUCCGGAGCUAAAGAUUGAUAUAUAGGACGGAUGGUUUUGGACACCGAAAGUGUUUCGGGCGUCACCGGUAACGUACCGGGACCACCGGAAGUGGCCCCGGGGGUCCACCGGUAGGGGGCCACGACCCCGGGAGGCUAGAUGGGCCAAGUGCGGGAGGGAACCAGCCCCUAGGUGGGCUGGUGCGCCCCCCACACUCAGCCCAAGGCGCAGGAGGUGGAGAGGGGGGAUAGCCAUUUUUCUGUUUGGUUGAUGAGUGAGGUUAUUCCAUAUUUUGUUCGAUUUUGCCGCCGCUGUCGUCAUCAUGGAAGAGAGCGGAGAUGGAAGGGGGAAGCGAUAGGAUUGGGGAAGAAAUGAACAAGAAAACAGGGUCGCAGAAAAAGUUUCGUGCUUGCCUUCGUGUGUGGCACGCGCCGGAUACCCAAGUCCGUGAGAUUCUCGUGGACGGGCGAAUCCUCAUUUUUGAAGGAAUAUUCCUAGCAUCUGGCUAACCUUAUCCCUUCUCGUCCACAAACCAAACAACUGUCAACCACAUAAAAAUGGCUAUCCCUGUCCCAAUGUUGGAUAGCCGAGCAACCAAACGCACUCCCAUGAUACCAUUUAAAAAAAUCGAUUUUAAAUGUUCCAAAACAUUUCAAAAAAAUUAUGGAUGUUCACACCACACGAGUGUGCAAUCCCUUCAAAUUUCAAACCAAAAUUCAAAAUAAACAUUGAGAAACAGACAUGAAAAUUUUGCAGAAAACGCUCUGAACAUUUCUGAAAUGAUGCCUUGGUACACAUCGUAUGAUACUGCCUACUGGAUCACCAUACAACAACCGAGCUGAGACCACACUAUGGUGUGAAGGCCACGAAAGCAGCCCAACCCUUCCUGGCUGAGCGAAAUAAAGGAAAAUACAUACUGCCAAUUGAGCUUCCAAUGUUACUCAGCACAUAGGACGCUCCUCACACAAGUGUCUUGUGGCACGAAUAGCUUUCUGAAUAGUAACAAGCAUCAACAAAAGAGACAUCAGAUUUUUACGUUGAAAACCCCUCAACUUGAGGGAAAAAACCAUGGGAGCCACCCAAAUCCUCUCUCAUUAUUAUUAAAUAUGGGAUACAACAAGUUUUUUCUCUAGAUAGCACUAGAGGAUCUCAUACAUCAAGAUUUCUAAAUCUUAGAUGAACAAAACAAGAUUUGUGGCUCAGGAUCUAGGGAUUGAAAUAAUCUCACCAAAGAUGGUGAAACCGCGGCUUGAAGGAGACAGGAUAGUGGGUCUGGAUCAUCACAACCUUGGGGAGGAGCUCCCUUUGCUUCUUCCUUCGAUCUUUCUCUUCUUUCCUUUCUCACUUGUUUUUCCCUCUUCUUCUUCAAUGGAGGCUGAACUGAUUUUCGUCCCACUAGAUGCUGGCUGCUAGAUGGAGGGCAAAGCAUCCCCAUUCACUCACAUGCAAAGACCAAAAUGAUCCUAGGUCAUAACCCUAAUGGUUAGUGGGCUUCUGCGCCUCGUUUUGGAUGCCUAAAAGCCCUUAAAUGGUCAUUUCCUCACAACCCACAUGGGAAGGAUAUCCCAACAAAUCUUCCCCUCCGACUCAUGAGGGGGGCACCGCCAUGCCCGCUACCUUUUAACAUGUGUGUAGCUUCUCAUUUGGCAAUAUCUUGGUCAUCAUAUCCAAACCAUUGUCGUCGGUAUGGAUCUUCUCAAGUUUCAACAACUUGGAACUUACAACAUCACUAGUAGAAAAUAGGUCUUUCGUUUGACCCUUUAGUCCCGAUUUGGUUUUGAACCGGGACUAAUGUCCAGCGGCUAGGAGCGGUCGGGGGGCACGUGCACCAUUAGUCCCGGUUAAAUUUGGGCUAUCUUGUGCCGAACGUCAGCUUUGGCUUGAGUCCGGUAUGAUUCCCAGUCUCAGGCGUAGUAGGAUACCCGAGGUGGCUCUCCAUCCCAUCUAGUGGGAGAGUACCUUAUGGACCCGUAAAUGGACCUGUUGCGACCUUUCUUUCUAUACAGGUUGUAUCGCAGGUCGUGUCCGCCCCGAGGGUGCACUUUUUUCCUUCCCCUUUCCGUCGGGAGGCCCGGGAUAGUAUUCGGCAUCCGCCGCCACCCUGUUGCGCCCUCGGGGAGGGCGGUCAGGUUGGUCGUAAUCUGUGCGCUUGGGCGAUUCAGGCUUCGGGGCCUCGUCAUCGAAUUGUGGCAGCAGUCGGCGACUUGGGUAAGUUUUCUUCUGAUCCGGCCAUCCAGAGUUGUAUUCUUCUGCGAUGGCCAGUACCUUGGUCCACCUACUGUUUAUAGUGUCUUGUUCGGCCUGGAGUUGUCGUUCCUUCGCUUUUAAGCUUAGAGCAGUAGCUAGGAGUAGGUGCCAAAACUCUUCCUAACCUCCAAGGUCAUCGGGAACUGCGAAGUCUUCAUCCUCCGGGUAGUCGUCGAUGGGGGGGAAGUAAUCAACAUUAUCCGACUUGCUGAUGUCGUCGGGGUCGUCCAACUCCACGGGCUUAUCCGCAUCCUCUUGUGGAUGUUCUCGAAUUGCGAGCUUACCGUGGUCCUCUGGGGUUUAUUUUCCCAGUGCCUUGCGCAGAUAUUCUUCCCUUGUUCCUCCCCGGUGCUUUGAUUGGUCCUGCCCGGAUUUGUCAUCAUUUGGCUAGGGGGAGGUCGCCGUUGUUACCGGGCAUGUCUACCAUGUAGACGUCAUAAGUAGAAGUUUCGGCCCAUCGCCCUAUAUUUGUGGUAGUGGGUUCAUCGGCUUCGUCGUCCAUGCACCCAAGCUCCUCGGGGCCGUAGUCUAGCGUGUCGGUUAAAUCUUCGACGGUAGCUACCAAGUGGGUGGUGGGUGGGCCGUAAAAGUCCCCAUAUUCCAACUCAAAGUCGUACUGCGAGCGGGUCGGCAUGGUUGAGAUGUGCAACGAUUGGAUCUGGCCGAGCAUCUCGUUUAACAUUGAUGCUCAUCCCGGUGCAUCAUUGGACGGUUUUCUGAGUUAACCUCCGGGGUCUCCGUGAGGGACGAGUGUUCGAUAAAAGUCGUUUGCUGUGAUCCAGGCGUCAGAGUCGGGUCUGAUCUAGGGGCCGACUCUUCGGAAGAGAGGCAUCGGAGGACAUGGCCGGAUGCGGGACCCGAAGUUAAAGCUUCAGUGUUUUUGAUCUCAUCGGCCGAAGCCGGGAUUCUUGCAGGGACCAGAUCGGUUCGUGGAUGGGUUGGGAAUUCAAAACGCCCUAACCUUGUUUGCUGAUCGGGGAUGAAACCUCCGAUGGGUUGGGUCUGAGCGAAGCGUAAUGCUGCCAAACGAGGAACCUGCCUGGGGACAAAGAUGUCUCUGUUGCUGAUUCUGUCACUGACGAUUAGGCGAGCCAUCGAUCUUCUCAGCGAUCCAAGAGUGGAACUCUCAAUGAAAGCACCAAUGUCGGUGUCAAAACCGGCAGAUCUCGGGUAGGGGGUCCCGAACUAUGGACCUUGGAUCGAUGGGUUCUAGGAAGAAAGGGGAGACAACAGUUUACCCAGGUUCGGGCCCUCCUAUGGAGGUAAUACCCUACGUCCUCUUUGAUUUUAUUGAUGAAGAUGAUUACAUGAUAUAUCUACCUCGAGAUCGUAUAUGCUAAACCAUAGAUGAUUAAGCCUCCUCUACACGGAGAGGGGGCUCUCGUUUAUAUAGUCACCAGGGACCCUAGGGUUUACAAGUUACCGACUAUAAUCAGUGGUGGGUGAGCCGACCUAGUCCUUCUAAGCUUGAAGUACAUGCCAAUCUUCGGAACAUUCCUUUCAGAGUAGAGGUCAUCAUAUGGCCCGAUCUUCAAUAGCAUGGCCCAAUGGGUCAGCCCGGCAUAGACUAAUCGACCGUCCGAGGACCCCAGAAUCCCGGACACCCUCAAUGAUCCGCACAAAAAUGAUAAAUUCAUGGCUUGGAACGAUGAAUAGUAUCAUAUGUUAAAAAGCUUCAGACUUGUAUUUUUUAUACAACCCUCGUUUUAAUGUAUUUUUUCUGAAAAUUUACACACAUAUGUGUUACGCCCUCACUUAUCUUUGUAUUUUUUUCAGAAUUUUUUAAAUGUAAAAAAUAUGAAUUUUCAUGAAAUUUUAAUUUCAAAUUUAAAGGCCUCUAUGGAGGCCGAACUCCAAAAGCUAUUUCCGAAUGUCUAUAUGGAUAUAUAAACAUCCAAAUUUUCGCAUUUUGUUGGAGAUACUCUUAGACUACUCACAAUGAGGAGUAACAUAAAAUAGUAACAUGCUUAUGUUACUAGUCUAAGUUACUACCUUUACAAUGAAUAAUAACAUAAAAGGUAGUAACACUGAGUCUUUCAUUCAUUAGCUUAUAGACUCAUCUUGUUUUGGUAAGCGUUAUGUUACUCAUAGUAUGAGUAACUAGCUAAGUUACUUAAUUUCUCUUUCUUCUAAUUAAUUAAUUGUCACAUCAUAUUUUUUGCUUAGGUGGCAUCUAUGUUAGUACCUAUGUUGCUUUCAUUAUAGAUAGUCUUAGAGCAUGAUUAAUAGAGCCAUUGCCAUAUCAUCUAUAGCCCAUCUCAUAGCCAACAUGUAUAAUAGUUCAUUAGAAAAGUAUACUAUUUUUUUAUUAUAUGACCCACCUUUCACUCUCACAAAGUGUAUAGGAACAUGUGUUAGAACUGGCACUCAACUCAGCCUAGACAGAACGAGCGGGCUUUUGGGCCCGCUCAUGUCCCGUUCAGGACCGGACCGUGCGGUCCAGGACCGGUAGGGAAAUAAGGUCGGUCAUAGCCCGAAAAUAUGUCGGUCCGGUCCGGUCUUUAACCGGGCCGCUCGGUCGGACCGAGAAAUCGCAGUCGUGGCCGCCGUCGUUUCUCAUCUUCGUGGCCACCGACAGCCCCCGAGUGAACCACCUUGUCCCCGAGCCUCCCCUCUCCUUCCUUCCUCUUCUUCCCGUGAGCCGCAUCUUCUUGGCGUCGGCCGCCAUCGUUGUCCUGCAUACACAGCCGUCGAUCUGGAGUUCUCGCACAUGGCCUCGACCCCAACCGUGGCCCCUAUUCAUGCGGGUAUUGCGGUUGCAUGAGCUGAAAUCGUGGCAUGACAGGAGCUGCAGAUCAAGACGUUUUUCUUAUAACUGAAAGGAACGAAAGAACAGCCAAGUACGAGUAUUACGGCAGUGCCAUCGCACGUUCACCCGUACGCAGCUAUGUUGCCGCUGCAUGAGCUGGAUUCGUGCCAAGCCACGAUCUCCCACAGCGGCUGAUCUAACUAACUUGAAACUAAGUCAAGAGGUGGACAUGCACAUGUGUUGCUUGAUGAGCGCGAAGACUGUCAGUUAAAUAGGUGCUGUCAAACUUUCAGUAAAUCCAGUUUCAUCAGAUUCAGAAAAUUUAGUCCGUCAGUUUCAUCAAAGAUUCAGCUGUCAGUUUAUUUGCAUGUGACUAAGAAAACGCAGCUAACUAGGACCUAGUCUGCAGCUAAAUAAGACCUAAACUGCAGCUGGAAAAAGUUACGGCAUCGGUCCACAGGGUCCUCUAAAGCUUGACCGAGCCAGCUUCAUUUCGAUCCGGUCCUGGAAAAGGAGCUCGCCGGACAGCUCGGUCCGGUCCGGACCGGACCGCCGGCGGCCGGUCCAAACGCCGGCUCGGAUCGGACUGUGUCCAGGCUGACACUCAACUAAGAGCAUUUGCUAGAGUUGGCUCUUAACUAAGAAUCCGCCUACCUUUUCUCCACUGUUCUCUUUCCUCUAACUAAGCAAAAAUAUACUACUUUAUUUUUUAUAGUUAUCUGACUCACCUUUAUUGUACUUAUUCUUAGUGUUUACUGUCCACUAAUGCUAAUUAAUUAAUACCUCGGUUGCUCAUUGAUACGCACAAAUCUCAACGCUAAUAAAAAAUUAUUCAUCCAACGUACGUGGUGUAGUCAUGGUCUGAAACAAAAAUGAACAAUCUAUCUCUAAAAUGUCCAUCUAGAACUCUAGAUCUAGAUCUACUAUCCAGCGGUGUCUACCCUUGUUCGCUGAGCUUAGGCAUAAUCCUGAAUUUCGCUCCGCUGGCUAACUAUUCUUUUUAGGGCAUUAGCCGGUAGACGACUAUGUUAGCCUCCCAAGGAAGAGAUUGUUAGCUGCACCACUCAAGCUAAUCCAUGGCCACACACACUCCCGAGCAGCCACUCACAUUACCGAUCCAGGCCAUGCCGGACACUCCCGAGCAGCCACAACCACCAAUCCAAGCCCCGCCGGUGACUCCCAACCCGUACACUCCUGAGCCUCCACUACAGAUCCAAGCCAUGCCGGCGGACACUCCUGAGCCACCGCUACGGAUCCAAGGAGCCAUGCCGGCGGACACUCCUAUACCACCGCUACCGAUCCAAGCAGCCAUGCCGGCUGACACUCCUGAGCCACCGCAACCGAUCCAAGGAGCCAUGCUGGCGGACACUCCUGAGCCACGGCUACCGAUCCAAGGAGCCAUGCCGGCGAACACUCCUGAGCCACCGCAACCGAUCGAAGGAGCCAUGCCGGCGGACACUCCCGAGCGGCCAUCACCAAUCCAGGCCUUGCCGGGGGACACUCUGGAGGCGCAUCGACCAACCCAAGGUAUGCCGGCAGUACUCCCAACACAACCGCCGAUACCAAUACAGCCAAUGGCUACCGUCAACCAAACAGUACUGCCGGCAGCACUACUCGCAACACAGCCACCGGUGCCGGAACCAGCCGUGAACCAGAUAGUACUGCCGCCGGCCGUCACCAUAAGCGGCUGGCCUUCACCACCUGCAGCGCCGGCUCCAUUCUGGGACUGCGAGGCGCAGGAGCCUCAGGCACCAGACUUCUGGGAAUUAUGGUUUGGUGCAAAUCCAGAGCACAUCGGCCGACCUAUCCUUCUCAUUGGCAGCCAGCAUCCAGCAUCCUAUCCCUGCCCUGGGCGAGCAUCCCCACUCCGCCACCGCGAGAACCCCCUCCGCAAGAAUUCUACCCUCGGCGAGCACCUUCCGCUCCGCCACCUUCCAAUCCUCGACCACGAUCAGCAUCCUCCGCUUGGUCAGCAUCCCCCGCUUCGUCACAAUUUCCUGGGCGAGCAUCCACCGAUCGACCAACCUACGCUCAGCCAACAUCCUACAGUACGCGAGCAUCCCCCGCUCGGCCAACAUCCUACAGUACGCGAGCGUCCCCUGCUCAGCCAACAUCCUACAGUGGGCGAGCACCCCCCGCUCGGCCAACACCCUACACUCGGCGAGCGUCUCCCGGUCGACCAACAUCCUACCCUCGGCCAACAUCCCCGGUCACCGCAGGCCCCCGCCGCAGUGCGCGAGAAUGGACCCUGCCGACUAAAAUUCGCAGCGUCGCCGGGCUGCGAUGCCAAGAUGGCUCCAUCUGGCGGGUGGACGGCGAAGCAACCUUACCACACGAGGGGUGUACCCCAUUGAUCGUGGUUCUUGGCCCGCUGUUCAAGAAGAAAGAAAGGUUGGCAGUGGAGGAUACCAAGUUGAAGUACACGCACAACCUGAUCCGUAGAGCCGACGAACAUGUGGAGCGGAGAAUGACAGAAUACCUUGAAGCCAUCGGUUCGAUGGAAGCCCUCAUACGGCAGCGCUACGACCCCGUGGAACUGGAAGACAAAUCUGAUGGAACUGGUCUGGUGGAGACGAUGGUGCUCGACAGCCUCUUCAUCAUCGAGGUGUUGGUCAUCCACUGGAUGGGGAAGAGAGAGCCAGGGCCACCCUCGCUAGAGCUGAUCAACUUCACCACACAGCCACUCAGAUGGGAGCCCAAAGCACUUCGUUUGGACCUGAUAGUCGUCCAAAACCAGAUCCCCUACUUCGUGCUCAAGAAGCUAUUCUGCAUGACCAACAUCCCCGAGCUUGGAGAGCAUGAGGAUAAACCCACCCAGCUCAAACAAAUGAUACUUGAUUAUCUCAUCGGCGAUGCAGAUGACGCACUGGCCGAAGCAAACUACCGAGGCCCAAUACAUCACAUCCUGCAUCUGGUGCAUUUACACUUGACAUUUUCCAGCUUUUCAGCUCAAGCGGUGAAUCCGGCACCACGGCUAUUAUCGGUGAAUUGGACCUUGGACAAGUUGGCACAGCAGGCCAAGGAUCUCCGCGCGUUUUAUAAACGCACCUUAUCAUGCUCUUCAAACCUACUGCCAGUUGGUUGGAAACGAUGGAAGGUGAUCCCUCCACUGCGGGAGCUCGUCCGGGUUGGUGUGAAGCUGAAGCGGGCAGAGACGGCCUGGUUCAUCCAAGUAAAGUUCGACAAGGGAGUUCUAGAGAUCCCGCCGUUCUCGUCGGGGCGAUAUCACAUUAGGCUGCUCACAAAUCUGGUGGUUAUGGAGAUGUCUGGGUGCUGGCCGCCGGACAAUCGCCUCUUCUGUAGCUAUGUCAGGUUCAUGGCCGAGCUCAUCAAGAACAAGAAGGAUGCUAAGCUUCUCUUCAAGAAGGGUAUCAUCUAGGAGAUCAACGAACAUGACAUUGACAAGAACUUGGUUAACCCAUUUCAGAUUCUUGCAGACUAUAGCCACGGCUCCAAGUAUGACUCCCGCUUCGAUCGCAUCGUUCAAGGCAUUAUCAAAUGCUACCAGAAAUGGAGCAAAGCGGGUGCAUAGUGGUCGAUCGGUGAGAUCGUGCUUAGGAAGUGGAGUUCAACAGAUUAAUCAGUGUCCAAUGGAGCAAGCACUAUGUGGUAUACCGGUGGAAAUAUUGUAAUCUACUACUCCCUUCAUAUUUUAUUUACUCCGCAUAUUAGCUUAUAAAGUUUGACCAAGUUAAAAGAACAAUAUGAACAUUUCCAGUAACAAUUUUAUAUGAUGUGAACAUAUUUGUAAUGAUGAAUACAAUGAUAUAUAUUCUGUGGUGUAUAAGUUGAUAUAUUUUUCUAAACUUGUUGAAAGUAUAUAAAGUUUAACUUUAGACAAACCUAAUAUGUGAAGUAAAUAAAAACGGAAAGAGUACUACCACAGCACCGGAGGCAACCAAUCGGUGCAACAUAUUUGAGAAAUAUAUUACGAUGGUCCGUCCGUCAAAUGUAUGUCAUUGAUGAGCCUUGAGAUCCAUGCUAAUGUCAUCCAUGAACCUUGUUGAACGUAUUAAUGCUAAUGUCAUCCAUCUGAUGUGUUCUUCCCUAAUGUAUAAGCUCUAUCUAGUAUAGUAGUUGUUCUUCCCUAGACGUUGGCUGCUGACACACAUGGACAAAUUGAGUAAUUGUGCAACUUGUCAGCCAACCUUAAGUCAAGGUCUAUUAGCUAACUUGUUUGGAACCGAACCUUGAACGGAACACAUGAGAUGGAUGACAUUAGCAUUAAUACAAACGGUUUUGCUAAAACUCAUCUAGCUGAGUUUUACUUAUGUCGCAUUCAUCUUUAUAAGCAUUGGAUGUGAUACUAUAAGAUGCGUGUUUGCUGACAUGGGUUAUAGUAUUACUUUGUAUCUGUUUUUUUUCCCAAAAAAAUGGGACCAAACUAUUUCCCAUCUAGAUGAGUUCUAGGCACUCCUAAUACAAAAGCACAAAAAGAAAUAAGAAUUCUGCAUGAAGAAGCAAAUCCAUCCGCUUAAGUGUUGUACAUGUGGUCCCUAACUAAGGCUGCGUUUGGUAGCAAGAAUACCGCGGUUUCUGAAACAACCCAUGGUUUUGAAUACUUAGAUAUGUUUGGCUUCAGCAGAAACUGAAGUUUUGUAAACCAUAGUAUCCUAGAAACCAUGGUAUUUUUGUUGUAUCAAAAAAAGAGGCCCCGGCCUCUUUUUUUUAAACAGAACAAAGGGCACUUCACGUCGUUGUCUAUGUCGAGAUAAGAUAACUAUAUCGGAUUAUAUCGCCUCCUACUUUCCCUCAGUCUGUUAUCUCGUAAAAUAAUUCUAAUAUGUCUCCUGGUCUCUCGGGAUGCUUCUUCUUCUAGCCAGCCUCACUUGUGAAUCCCACGUCUCUUUUCUCGGCAAUGAGAUAGAUUCUAGGUUAGCUAAUGUGCAUGCAGAUGCAGCAGGGAUAAACAUAUUCUACAAAUCCUAGCAUCUAGGUCCGGACGUGUACAUGACGGCUGCAUGCAGCCAACCGCCGUUAGGAGCCGCCAAUUACUCAGCUAUCUACGAUAAAUACUUGGUCAAAAAUUUGGUAAAUAGCACCAGCCAAACACAUGUAAAACUGAAAAAAUAAUGGUUUUAAGAAACUACGGUAUUCAUUGCCCACCCAUAAAAAUACUUUGAUUUUCAAUUACUACCGUUUUCUAAAAACUUUGCUGCCAAACUAGGCCUAAUUGUCAUAAUAUAAAACAAUCAUCAAACAGACAAACAUCCUAAAAUUAGAGGUAAGAUGGACUAAUCAUAUAACUAAUUAACCUGAAUGGAACACUAAGAAAAAUCAUGGGGUUUCAAGAAAUACAACAUACAUAUAUAUCGCACUUUUUUCGAUAAAAAAAUAUAUUAAUAUCACGAAGAUACCAAUUACACCCGGUCUCGAUAGCAACAAGACGUCCCAAGGCACCAAGGAUACACACAACCAAAAAAUAAAAAAAAUAAAAAACAGAAGAAAUAAGACUCUCGCAAGGUGAUCAAUCACUAGCAUCCGCAACAUUCUAACCACCAACAAAGACUACAUCUGGAUUACAAAAAAGGUUCUUUAAAAGAAACACCUUCAAGAAAAAACCAAUGCACAAGUGUUGUCGAUCCCCGAUCGAAUAUCUUGGGUUUUGACCCUAAACAAAGUCGAAGUUCAUCCAAAAACAAUGCGUUCAACAAGACCAUUGUCAGAUCAACCAAUAAAUGUCAGAACUUGACUUCUCUUCUUGGGAAUCAAGACUCGGUACUCGAGGAGCAACACCAAAUAUAGAGUCCUCCUGUGUUGUCGAGACCGCUGGUGCAACACACCACACAGUCUUCAUCACAUACAAUACACACUUCCGCAAAAGUUUUAAGACCUCCAAUGACAGUCGUCAUGACUUUAUGCAUCUCUAUCAAUGCAGGGCCGACCCACAGGGCGGGGCAACGGGGCGACCGCCCUGGGCCUGUGGGAGGUAUGGGCCCCGACCCUCCCAUACCUCUCGAUCUAUGGGUGAUCUCGUCCACUCUUCCCUCUCGGUCUCUGCUUGAUCUCGUCCACUGAUGUCUUGCAGUCCAAAGCCACAAAAAUCUUCUGCACAUAGACGUCCCAUGCAAGAGCCAAAGCUUCUCUCGCCGCCAGAACUUUCAAGGUGGACGAAUCAUAUGUGUGCUUAAAAGAUAUAGCCGAAGCACCCAAGAAAGCUCCCUCUUCGUCUCGGCACACCACUCCAAUCGCACCACAGCCAUGAGCAGCUGCUGCAUUUCCAUUCAGCUUAGCAAAGCCCCGGGCAGAGGAAUCCAGCCAUUACUUUUGAACACCCUCGAUGAGGGGCUAAGAGGUGAGGGUUUUGUAGAAAAUUCGUUGUCUCGUAUAAAAGCCUCGAUGAACCGAUGGGUCUGUAACGGACUAUCAAAAAUUUCUCCAUGAAUAGCUCUCCUUCUUGAUCUCCAAAUUGCCCAUAGAGUGACCAUCAAUCGGCUGAAACUUUGUGGCGGUAAAAGAUCCUGCAUGGAGUAAAAACUCUACGGAGUUCCACCUCACGCCAAGAACCAGCCGAAGCCUCAAUAAGAUCAGAAACCCUUUGGGGAGGAUUGGCCACCAGAGAAUGAUCGGCCUCAUCAUUCCCGGCCUGGGUAACCAGUUUUGUGACCAAAUAUUGGUGUCUUCACCCGUUCCAGUCCGCUUUAUAAUUCUUUGCACCACGACAUCCCUCCCAUUCAAAAUGGCCCGCCAGAUUUGCGAUGGAUGCCCGCCAAGUUCAGAUUCUAACAAUGAGACCGUGGGGUGGUACACUGCCUUUAGGAUCCUAGCACUAAGUGUCUCAGGCCCUUGAAUCAGCCUCCAAGCUUGUCUAGCCAAGAGAGAUAAGUUGAAUAUCUCCAUGUCCUUGAAGCCAAGACAACCCCCAUAGAUUUUGGAGACGUGCAUACGUCCCAUGAGAACCAACAAGGCUUCAUUUUGCUCCUCUUACUCCCCCACCAGAGCUGGCGAAUCAUUGAAGUGAUGUUCUCACAAAUUCCACGUGGUAAACGAAAGCAUGACAUCAAAAAUACUGGUAUAGCUUGAGCAACAGCCUUAAUCAAGACCUCCUUUCCCCCAUAAGAAAGCAUCUUCUCCAUCCAACCUUUAAUCUUCUCCCAAACCCUGUCCCGAAGAUAUUUAAAAGUCCCAUUACUUUCUCGUCCCACAUCGGUAGGAAAUCCCAAGUACCUUUCGCAGAGCUCUUCAUUGUGCACAUUCAGAGACCUUUUAAUAGAAUCUCGCAAGGCUCGAGGACAUCAUUUGCUGAAAAAUUGAUGAUUUUGCGUUCUUAACUCUCUGACCAAACACAUUGCAAUAGGUAGUCAGCAAGUUUGAUGCCAACAUCGCCCCUUCAAUACUCGCUUUGAAAAGCAACAGGCUAUCAUCCGCAAAGCGAAGGUGGUUAACAACCGGGGCUGUCGGCGCCACCUUUACUCCAACAAAAUGCGAUGAUUGAGAUUCUGAUUUCAAAAGGCACGAGAGGCCCUCUGCUGCAAUCAAAAAGAGGUAAGGGGAGAUAGGAUCCCCCUGUCUAACCCCAUGAUGGUUUGAACUGUUUUAGUUUCUCUCCAUUGAACAACACUGAAAAGGAUACUGAUUUUAUCAUGCUCAUCACAAUAUCAACCCAGGGUUUAGCAAAGCCGAGCUUGAGCAUAAUCGCCUCAAGGUAUACCCAUUCAACCCUGUCAUAAGCUUUCAUCAUAUCCAGCUUUAAAGCACGGUGGCUAUUAGAUUUUGCUUUGCUCUUCUUCAUGAAAUGCAGGGAUUCAUAGGCACUAACAAUUUUGUAUGUUAUCAGCCUCCCUGGAACAAAAGCAGAUUGUUCUUCUGAAAUAAUCUUCAGUAGAAUAAGCUUCAGUCUAUUUGCCACAACAUUUGAAGCAAUCUUGUACAAGACAUUACAAAGAUUGAUUGGCCUAAACUAAGAGAGCAAGGUUGGGUUCAAUACCUUAGGAAUAAGAACCAAAAACGUGUCGUUGAUACACUUGGCGUUGACAUCUCCCUUGAUAAUCUGCAACACAGAAUUGGUGAUUUCUUCCCCCACACACGUCCCACUGCCGCUGAUAAAAGUGCGCAGGAAAGCCAUCUGGGCGANNNNNNNNNNNNNNNNNNNNNNNNNNNNNNNNNNNNNNNNNNNNNNNNNNNNNNNNNNNNNNNNNNNNNNNNNNNNNNNNNNNNNNNNNNNNNNNNNNNNNNNNNNNNNNNNNNNNNNNNNNNNNNNNNNNNNNNNNNNNNNNNNNNNNNNNNNNNNNNNNNNNNNNNNNNNNNNNNNNNNNNNNNNNNNNNNNNNNNNNNNNNNNNNNNNNNNNNNNNNNNNNNNNNNNNNNNNNNNNNNNNNNNNNNNNNNNNNNNNNNNNNNNNNNNNNNNNNNNNNNNNNNNNNNNNNNNNNNNNNNNNNNNNNNNNNNNNNNNNNNNNNNNNNNNNNNNNNNNNNNNNNNNNNNNNNNNNNNNNNNNNNNNNNNNNNNNNNNNNNNNNNNNNNNNNNNNNNNNNNNNNNNNNNNNNNNNNNNNNNNNNNNNNNNNNNNNNNNNNNNNNNNNNNNNNNNNNNNNNNNNNNNNNNNNNNNNNNNNNNNNNNNNNNNNNNNNNNNNNNNNNNNNNNNNNNNNNNNNNNNNNNNNNNNGGGAUUUGUCACUCCGCGUGACGGAGAGGUAUCUCUGAGCCCACUUGGUAGACAUCAUCAUGAGCUCAGUGUGACUAAGGAGUUAGUCACACGAUGACGUACUACGGAACGAGUAAAGAGACUUACCGGUAACGAGAUUGAACAAGGUAUAGGUAUACCGACAGACAGAGGGGAUUGUAUACGGGAUUGAUUGAAUCCUUGACAUCGUGGUUCAUCCAAUGAGAUCAUCAUGGAGCAAGUGGGAGCCACCAUGGGUAUCCAGACCCCGCUGAUGGUUAUUGUCCGGAGAGGUGUCUCGGUCAUGUGUGCUUGUCUCCCAAACCCGUAGGGUGUACACACUUAAGGUUUGAUGACGCUAGGGUUAUAGGGAAUUGUUAUACGAGGUUACCGAAAGUGGUUCGGGGUACCGGAUGAGAUCCCGGAAGUCACGAGGAGCUACGGAAUGGUCCGGAGGUAAAGAUUGAUAUAUAGGACGGAUGGUUUUGGACACCGGAAGUGUUUCGGGCGUCACCGGUAACGUACCGGGACCACCGGAAGUGGCCCCGGGGAUCCACCGGUAGGGGGCCACGACCUCGGGAGGCUAGAUGGGCCAAGUGCGGGAGGGAACCAGCCCCUAGGUGGGCUGGUGCACCCCCCACACUCAGCCCAAGGCGCAGGAGGUGGAGAGGGGGGAACCCUAGGCGCUGGUGGACCUAAGGCCCACCUAGGGGUGUGCCAACCCCUCCCCCUGCCCUGGCCGCCGCACCUCCCAUCUGGGGGGGGGCUGCCGCACCACCUAGGGUGGGAACCCUAGGGGUGGCACCCCCCCUCCCCUCCUCCUAUAUAUAGUGGGGGUUUCGGGGCUGUUUUGCACACAGUUUUCCCUCUCCCUUGGCACAGCCCUGCUCUUCUUUGUCCUCCUCUCUGCCGGUGCUUGGCGAAGCCCUGCCGGGAGACCUCGUCUCUCCAUCGACACCACGCCGUCGUGCUGCUAGAGAUCUUCCCCAACCUCUCCCUCCUCCCUGCUAGAUCAAGGUGCGGGAGACGUCACCGGGCUGCACGUGUGUUGAACGCGGAGGUGCCGUGGUUCGGCACUAGAUCGGAAUCACACCGCGAUCUAAAUCGCCGCAAGUACGACUCCAUCAACCGCGUUCUAGCAACGCUUCCACUUAGCGAUCUUGAAAGGUAUGAAGAUGCUCUCACCCCUCUCUCGUUGCUGGUCUCUCCAUAGGAAGAUCUGAAUAUGCGUAGGAAAUUUUUUGAAUUUAUGCUACGUUACCCAACAGUGGCAUCCGAGCGAGGUUUUCUAUGCGUAGAUUCUAUGCACGAGUAGAACACAAAAGGUUGUGGGUGAUGAUUUGUCAAUUGCUUGCCGCUACUAGUCUUAUUCUUUUCCGGCGGUAUUGUGGGAUGAAGCGGCCUGGACCGACCUUACACAUACGCUUACGUGAGACUGGUUCCACCGACAGACAUGCACACCGUGCAUAAAGGUGGCUAGCGGGUGUCUGUCUCUCCCACUCUAGUCGGAUUGGAUUUGAUGAAAAGGGUCCUUAUGAAGGGUAAAUAGCUUUGGCAUAUUAUCGCUGUGGCUGUCACGUAGGUAAGAAGGCGUUCUUGCUAGAAACCCAAAUCAGCCACGUAAAACUUGCAACAACAAUUAGAGGACGUCUAACUUGUUUUUGCAGGGUUUGACAUGUGAUGUGAUAUGGCCAAAGUUGUGAUGUUGCAUGUAUGAUGUAUGAGAUGAUCAUGUUAUUGUAAUAGGUUUCACGACUUGCAUGUCGAUGAGUAUGACAACCGACAGGAGCCAUAGGAGCUGUCUUAAUUUAUUGUAUGAGAUGCAAUGCCAUGUGCUUACUACUUUUACUUCAUUGCUAACGGUUAGCUGUAGUAGUAGUGAUAGUAGUAGUUGGCGUGACGACUUCAUGGAGACACGAUGAUGGAGAUCAUGGUGUCACGUCGAUGACGAUGAUGAUCAUGCGAUGCCUGAAGAUGGAGAUCGAAAGAGCAAAGAUGAUAAUGGCCAUAUCAUGUCACUAUAUGAUUGCAUUGUGAUGUUUAUCAUGUUUUUCAUCUUAUAGCUUAGAACGACGGUAGCAUAAUAAGAUGAUCCCUCUUAAAAUUUUGAAAAUGUAUUCCCCUAAGUGUGCACCGUUGCGAAGGAUCGUUGUCUCGAAGCACCACGUGAUGAUCGGGUGUGAUAGAUUCUAAAGUUCGCAUACAACGGGUGUAAGCAAGAUUUACACACGCGAAACACCUAGGUUGACUCGACGAGCUUAGCAUGUACAGACAUGACGUCGAAUACAAGAGACCGAAAGGUCGAACAUGAGUCGUAUGGUUGAAUACGAUCAACAUGAAGUUGCUCACCAUGGUGACUAGUCCGUCUCACGUGAUGAUCGGACACGGGUUAGUCAACAUGGAUCAUGUAUCACUUAGAAGACUAGAGGGAUGUCGAUUUAAGUGGGAGUUCAUACUUAAUUUGAUUAAAUGAACUUAAUUGUCAUGAACUUAGUCUAAAAUUUGUCUUUAUAAAUAUUGUAGAUGGCCAACGUCAACAUCAAUUUCAACGCAUUCCUAGAGAAAAAUAAGCUAAAAGAUGAUGGUAGCAACUAUGCGGACUGGGUUCGCAACUUGAAGCUCAUCCUUGAAGCAGCUAAAAAGGCUUAUGUCCUUGAUGCGCCGCUAGGUGACCCUCCCGCUCCCGCAGCAGCCAAGGACAUUCUGAACGUCUAGCAAAUGCGGAGUGAUGACUACUCUCUAGUUAGGUCUGGCAUGUUAUACAGUUUGGAAACGGGGCUCCAAAGGCGUUUUGAGCAACACGGUGCAUAUGAGAUGUUCCAAGAGCUGAAACUAGUUUUUCAAGCUCAUGCCCGUGUCGAGAGAUAUGAAGUCUCCGACAAGUUCUUUAGUUGUAAGAUGGAGGAGAACAGUUCUGUCAGUGAGCACAUACUCAAAAUGUCUGGGUUACACGGUCGUCUGACUUCACUUGGAGUUGAACUUCCGGAUGAUGCUAUAAUUGACAGAAUCCUCCAGUCUCUCCCACCAAGCUACAAAGGUUUUGUGCUGAACUACAACAUGCAAGGGAUGGACAAGACCAUUCCCGAGUUGUACUCGAUGCUCAAGUCUGCAGAAGUAGAAAUCAAGAAAGAGCAUCAAGUGUUGAUGGUCAACAAGACCACUAGUUUCAAGAAGGGCAAGGGUAAGAAGAACUUCAAGAAAGACGGCAAAGUCGUUGCCGCGCCCGGUAAGCCAGAUGCCGGGAAGAAGAAAAAGAAUAGACCCAAGCCUGAGACUGAGUGCUUCUAUUGCAAGGGAAAAGGUCACUGGAAGCGGAACUGCCCCAAAUACUUAGCGGACAAGAAGGCCAGCAAUGUUAAAGGUAUAUGUGAUAUACAUGUUAUUGAUGUGUACCUUACCAACGCUCAUAGUAGCUCCUGUGUAUUUGAUACCGGUGAUGUUUCUCACAUUUGCAACUCAAAGCAGGAACUGCAGAAUAAGCGGAGACUGGCCAAGGACGAGGUGACGAUGCGCGUCGGGAAUGGCUCCAAGGUCGAUGUGAUCGCCGUCGGCACGCUACCUCUACAUCUACCGUCGGGAUUAGUUUUAAACCUUAAUAAUUGUUAUUUAGUACCAGCUUUGAGCAUAAAUAUUGUAUCAGGGUCUUGCUUGAUGCGAGACGGCUACUCAUUUAAGUCAGAGAAUAAUGGCUGUUCUAUUUAUAUGAGUGAUAUGUUUUAUGGUCAUGCUCCGCUGGUGAAUGGUUUAUUCUUGAUGAAUCUCGAUCGUGAUGUUACACAUAUUCAUAGUGUGAGUACCAAAAGAUGUAAAGUUGAUAAUGAUAGUCCCACAUACUUGUGGCACUGCCGCCUUGGUCAUAUCGGUGUUAAGCGCAUGAAGAAGCUCCAUACUGAUGGACUAUUAGAGUCUCUUGACUUUGAAUCAUUUGACACAUGCGAACCAUGCCUCAUGGGCAAGAUGACUAAGACUCCAUUCUCAGGAAUAAUGGAGAGAGCAACCGACUUAUUGGAAAUAUACAUACUGAUGUGUGUGGUCCAAUGAACGUUGAAGCUCGUGGUGGCUAUUGUUAUGUUCUCACUCUCACCGACGAUUUGAGUAGGUAUGGGUAUAUCUACUUGAUGAAGCACAAAUCUGAGACAUUUGAAAAGUUCAAGGAAUUUUAGAGUGAGGUCGAGAAUCAACGUGACAGAAAAAUUAAGUGUGUACGAUCUGAUCGUGGAGGAGAAUAUUUGAGUCACGAGUUUGGCACACACCUAAGGAAGUGUGGAAUCGUUUCACAAUUGACGCCGCCUGGCACACCGCAACGCAACGGAGUGUCUGAACGUCGAAAUCGCACUUUAUUAGAUAUGGUACGAUCUAUGAUGUCUCUUACCGACUUACCGCUGUCAUUUUGGGGAUAUGCAUUAGAAACUGCAGCAUUCACUUUAAAUAGGGCACCGUCUAAAUCCAUUGAGAUGACACCGUAUGAACUAUGGUUUGGCAAGAAACCUAAGUUGUCAUUUCUUAAAGUUUGGGGCUGCGAUGCUUAUGUGAAGAAACUUCAACCAGAAAAGCUCGAACCCAAAGCGGAGAAAUGUGUAUUCAUAGGAUACCCUAAGGAAACUAUUGGGUAUACCUUCUAUCUUAGAUCCGAUGGUAAAACAUUUGUUGCCAAGAACGGAUCCUUUAUAGAGAAAGAGUUUCUCUCGAAAGAAGUAAGUGGGAGGAAGGUAGAACUUGAUAAGGUAAUUACACCCCCUCUCGAACAGGAUAGAGCGCAGCUUGGGAAGUUGUUCCUGUGGCGCCUACACCAACUGAAGAGGAAGUUAAUGAUAAUGAUCAUGAAGCUUCGGAUCAAGUUACUACUGAACCGCGAAGGUCCACAAGGGCACGCUCCGCACCAGAGUGGUACGGCAACCUUGUGAUGGAAAUCAUGUUGUUAGAUAAUGGUGAACCUUCGAACUAUGAAGAAACGAUGGCGGGCCCGGAUUCCAACAAAUGGCUUGAAGCUAUGAAAUCCGAGAUAGGAUCCAUGUAUGAGAACAAAGUAUGGACUUUGGUGGACUUGCCCGAUGACCGGCGAGCCAUAGAAAAAAAAUGGAUCUUCAAGAAGAAGACUGAUGCAAACGGUAAUGUAACCGUUUAUAAAGCUCGACUUGUCGCAAAGGAUUCUCGACAAAUUCAAGGAAUUGACUACGAAGAGACUUUCUCUCCCGUAGCAAAGCUGAAAUCAGUCUGAAUCAUGUUAGCAAUUGUCGCCUUUUAUGAUUAUGAAAUUUGGCAAAUGUACGUCAAAACAGCGUUCCUUAACGGGAACCUUAAGGAAGAGUUGUAUAUGAUGCAACCAGAAGGUUUUGUCGACCCUAAGGGUGCUAACAAAGUGUGCAAGCUCCAGCGCUCCAUCUAUGGGCUGGUGCAAGCAUCUCGGAGUUGGAACAUUCGUUUUAAUGAGGUGAUUAAAGCGUUUGGGUUCAUACAGGUUUAUGGAGAAGCCUGUAUGUACAAGAAAGUGAGUGGGAGCUCUGUAGCUUUCCUCAUACUGUAUAUGGAUGACAUAUUGUUGAUGGGGAAUAAUAUAGAGAUGUUGGAGAGCAUAAAGGCCUAUUUGAACAAGAGUUUUUCAAUGAAGGACCUUGGAGAAGCUGCAUACAUAUUAGGCAUCAAGAUCUAUAGAGAUAGAUCGAGACGCCUCAUAGGUCUUUCGCAAAGUACAUACCUUGACAAGAUAUUGAAGAAGUUCAACAUGGAAAACUCAAAGAAAGGGUUCUUACCAGUUUUGCAAGGUAUGAGAUUGAGUAAGACUCAGUCGCCGACCACGGCAGCAGAUAAAGAGAAGAUGAGUUACGUCCCCUACGCUUCAGCCGUAGGCUCUCUUAUGUAUGCCAUGCUGUGUACCAGACCUGAUAUAAACCUUGCCAUAAGUUUAGUAGGGAGGUACCAAAGUGAUCCCGGCAUGGAACAUUGGACGGCGGUCAAGAAUAUCCUUAAGUACCUGAAAAGAACUAAGGAGAUGUUUCUCGUUUAUGGAGGUGACGAAGAGCUCGUCGUAAAGGGUUACGUCGACGCUAGCUUCGACACAGAUCCGGAUGACUCUAAGUCACAGACCGGAUACGUAUAUGUUUUGAAUGGUGGGACAGUGAGCUGGUGCAGCAGCAAGCAAGAAGUCGUGGCAGCAUCUACAUGUGAAGCAGAGUACAUAGCUGCUUCAGAAGCGGCUCAUGAAGGAAUUUGGAUGAAGGAGCUCAUCACCGACCUUGGAGUGGUUCCAAGCGCGUCGGGUCCAAUGACGCUCUUCUGUGAUAACACUGGGGCCAUUGCCAUAGCCAAGGAGCCCAGGUUUCACCAGAAGACGAAGCACAUCAAACGCCGCUACAACUCCAUCCAGGACCAUGUCGAGAGUGGAGUAAUAGAGAUUUGUAAAGUACACACGGAUCUGAAUGUUGCAGACCCGUUGACUAAACCUCUUCCACGAGCAAAACAUGAUCAACACCAUAAUGCUAUGGGUGUUCGAUACAUCACAAUGUAACUAGGUUAUUGACUCUAGUGCAAGUGGGAGACUGUUGGAAAUAUGCCCUAGAGGCAAUAAUAAAAUGGUUAUUAUCAUAUUUACUUGUUCAUGCUAUAAUUGUAUUAACACGAAACAGUAAUACAUGUGUGAAUAAAAAGAUCACAAUGUGUCCCUAGCAAGCCUCUAGUUGGCUAACUCGUUGAUCAAUAGAUGAUCAUGGUUUCCUAAUCAUGGGCAUUGGAUGCCAUUGAUAACGGGAUCACAUCAUUGGGAGAAUGAUGUGAUGGACAAGACCCAAUCCUAAGUGUAGCACUAGAUCGUGUUGUUCGUAUGCUAAAGCUUUUCUAAUGUCAAGUGUCUUUUCCUUCAACCGUGAGAUUGUGCAACUCCCGGAUACCGUAGGAGUGCUUUGGGUGUAUCAAACGUCACAACAUAACUGGGUGACUAUAAAGGUGCACUACGAGUACCUCUGAAAGUGUCUUUUGGGUUGGUACGAAUCGAGAUCGGGAUUUGUCACUCCGCGUGACGGAGAGGUAUCUCUGGGCCCACUCGGUAGAACAUCAUCAUGAGCUCAAUGUGACUAACGAGUUAGUCACACGAUGACGUACUACGGAACGAGUAAAGAGACUUACCGGUAACGAGAUUGAACAAGGUAUAGGUAUACCGAUGAUCGAAUCUCGGGCAAGUUCUAUACCGACAGGCAAAGGGGAUUGUAACGGGAUUGAUUGAAUCCUUGACAUCGUGGUCCGUCCGAUGAGAUCAUCGUGGAGCAAGUGGGAGCCACCAUGGGUAUCCAGACCUCGCUGAUGGUUAUUGGCCGGAGAGGUGUCUCGGUCAUGUCUGCGUGUCUCCCGAACCCGUAGGGUCUACACACUUAAGGUUUGAUGACGCUAUGGUUAUAGGGAAUUGUUAUACGAGGUUACCGAAAGUUGUUCGCGGUCCCGGAUGAGAUCCCGAACGUCACAAGGAGCUCCGGAAUGGUCCGGAGGUAAAGAUUGAUAUAUAUGACGGAUGGUUUUGGACACCGGAAGUGUUUUGGGCGUCAACGGUAACGUACCGGGACCACCGGAAGUGGCCCCGGGGGUCCACCGGAAGGGGGCCACGACCCCGGGAGGCUAGAUGGGCCAAGUGCGGGAGGGAACCAGCCCCUAGGUGGGCUGGUGCGCCCCCCACAGUCAGCCCAAGGCGCAGGAGGUGGAGAGGGGGGAAACCCUAGGCGCUGGUGGGCCUAAGGCCCACCUAGGGGUGCGCCAACCCCUCCCCAUGCCCUGGCCGCCACACCUCCCAUCUGGGGGGGCUGCCGCACCACCUAGGGUGGGAACCCUAGCGGUGGCACCCCCCCUCCCCUCCUCCUAUAUAUAGUGGGGGUUUCGGGGCUGUUUUGCACACAGUUUUCCCUCUCCCUUGGCGCAGCCCUGCUCUUCUUUCUCCUCCUCUCUGUCGGUGCUUGGGGAAGCCCUGCCGGGAGACCUCGUCUCUCCAUCGACACCACGCCGUCAUGCUGCUGGAGAUCUUCCCCAACCUCUCCCUCCUCCUUGCUGGAUCAAGGUGCGGGAGACGUCACCGGGCUGCACGUGUGUUGAACGCGGAGGUGCCGUGGUUCGGCACUAGAUCGGAAUCACACCGCGAUAUGAAUCGCCCCGAGUACGACUCCAUCAACCGCAUUCUAGCAACGCUUCCGCUUAGCGAUCUUCAAAGGUAUGAAGAUGCUCUCACCCCUCUCUCGUUGUUGGUCUCUCCAUAGGAAGAUCUGAAUAUGCGCAGGAAAUUUUUUGAAUUUAUGCUAUGUUACCCAACACACAGUCAAUCUCCACGGUUCCCCUCCCGGCUCCAAAACUUCCAUGCCAAUGUGAUAAACUGAAUACCCCAAAAUACUUUUAUUUAUUGAGCUCUUCCAAUACAAACCAAUGCCACCACUUCUCCCCCACACUGUCAAUAGCAAAAGCUUUAUCAUAUGCGAUAGUACUCGCUAAAUUUUCUACUCUAGCUCUGUAAAUUUGGGUUUCUAGGAUACAAAGCAGAGUAGGGUCAUAAAUCUUCGCUAGGUCGCGAAGUUCUCGAACUGUCGAGGUCUUUCCCACUCCUCGACAGUUCCAACAAAUGUAAUCCAUUGUGCCCGGCGGCACUCCUCAUGGGAGCCCGCCGAUAACGCAAUGUUCUAUCGAGCAGUAUUGUCUCCGAUAUUCAUACCCUUCUUCAGCCUCUUCUUGUCCUUGCAAGGUGAAACAUAAACCGGUGGAAGAGGUGGAACUCCAGCGGAGUCGCUCUUGCCAUCCGACGUCCCCCCAUUGAUCACAAUAGCAUUAUUGUUGGAUGAAACCGCAUGAUCUCUGUCUAGCAGCCCUCUUUUACUGUUAUUUUUGGCCUCUUCGAAGAUAGAGUCAGCUUCUGGUUCCACAACACUAGCCGUUCCUGAAUCCCCCGCAGCUAAAUCGUGAUCAGCACUGACCGCGCCCUCAUUUCCUUUAGUCUCCACUGCACUAGGAUCUAGACCGAAGUCCAUAUCCUCAGCUUCCGAUGCCUUGGGCUCCUCAGCAUGUCCACGUCGUCUUUCCGUAGUGCGGCCUGGGUUUACUCCUCUUCCUCCUCCCCUACCACCACGGGAGGGAAAUCUACCCCCAGUCUUGGAAGAAAACUGCAUCUCCCUCCUCUGUGCUAUCAUCUAGCGUCCCCACUUUUGAUCCUCUUCUUUCCAAACCCCACUGCCACAUUCCUCGUAGUCGUGCCACAUCAGCCCACAAGCCUUGUAGAAGAAAGGGAUUUUCUCAUACUUAACAAUAAGCAUCCUAGUGCCCUCCCCUACCAUUGUCAACGGUAUAAAGCGAGUCAGGGGUUUAGCCGUCAGAACCUUCGCUCGCACAUACACAUAUUCACCCUCAUAGAAGAGGGUAGGCUACAUCUGAACCUCUCUCACCUUGCCAAUUCUGCGGGCUAACUGAUCAACAAUCGUGUCCCGCCGAUACAUAACCGGUAUCUUAUGAAUCUGAGCCCACACAUAAAGACCAUCUAGAACGACUGAUUCAGGGUCAGUUUUUCCAUCAUAAUCCUCAAUGAUAACACCCAGGCCUCUAAAGAGCAAUGGACCUCCAUGCACAGCCUUCUUCCAAUCCCCAAGGCAGAAAACUGAAAUAUGAACAAGUUAUCUCCGGCCUCUCUGAAUUUUGGCGUACAAGCCAGAAUCCAUAUGAAUUUCAUGUUUUCCAGGAAUGCUGUAGGGCUAAAGUAGCGACCCGUGUUUACCCUCGCAAUUGCCAUCCAUCUUGCCUCAGCAGCGAAAGAUUGGGCGUCCUUUUUGUCGAUGAUCACCUCAUCUAGUUCCUCCUCCAUGAGUUCCAUGUUUUUCAACAUCUCCUCUAGAUCAACUGCCUUCUCCUUACUCCUUCGCGAGGAGGAUCCUCCAAGGUCUUCCAUGGGAAGCCCCUAGAGACACAAAGAACACCAACUCUCGCCCCCCUUGCGGGAAGACGGACCGGUAAACGUCCUAGAUUCAGCAGCCCCCGGUGGCGAUUGUGGAAAAUCGCCAGCGACGCCGCUAAACCCUAAACCCUAAACGAGAGGGUAUUACGACCUAAAAUUGAAUGGCUGAUAUCUCUCAUUCUCACGUAGAUUCAGUUCAAUAAAGCCCAUAAACCACGAGAUUCACCUUGGUCAAACUCGUGUUUUCUUUCUUUUGAGAUCGACCCCAUAGCGAGCAUCUUGUUCAUUUCCCCUUCACUGCAGGCAAUUGGCCCAACCGCCCUUGCCUACAAAAAAAAAUGGCCCGACCGCCCGAAGUGUUUAGUGAAAGCUCGGUUUAUAUGAUUUCUUAAAAAAACAUGGUUUAUAUGGGGGAGACUUGUGUGAGAUCUCACAUUAGGUGAAAUCUCUGAGAUUAAGUUUUUUUGAAAGCAAAAAACAUGUUCAAACGUUCUCAAAAAAUUUGUAGACACUAAUCAAUAUUUGAUAUACAUCUCAAAAAGUAUCAUCUUCUAAUUUAACUUACAUGAAUAGAAACAAGGAAGACAAAAUCGGAUGUGAAUAGUGGUAAACUACUAUUCACCCACAGCUGCUACUAUUCAUAUUUGAAUUUGACUUUUCUGAAUCUCUAAAUCUAAGCCGAUAUUUUAGCUGAUUUUUUCGGUGUUGUAGACAUAUCCUACAUGAAUGUUGUCAAAUAAUUUCAUAUUUUUUUGAAAUGUCUAAAUAUGAAUUUUUGGGGUUGAUCACACCAUCUCACCUAAAUGUGAGAUCAACAAACUUUCAUUGUUUGAUCUGUUUUUCUUGCUUCACUCGUUGUUUGUGAAUACUAUUUUGUAUGAUUUUUUGUUGUUUUUGUAUGUGAUCGUGCUACGAUCGUGCAUUGUUCCAUGAGAACUAAGUUUUUCUUUUAAAUAUCCAUAGUAUAUAUCAUCUUGCAAGCUGCAAGAUACGAUAAUACAACGACAAUUAUAAUGACGUUCACGAUAAUUCGACAGGUAUAUCUAUCUCCUUGCUUUCAAAAAAUAAAAUGACCCUGCUACAAUCGUGCAUUGUGCGGUGAGAACUAAGUGUUUUUCUUUUAAUGAAUUCAUUCAUACUAUAUGGUCUUGUUGGGAAUUAGCACACAAAUGCAUUUGUGGUUAACUAAAAACUGUAGCGGAAACAAAGUAAUCUCAGCACCACAUCGUGUACUAACUCAAGCAUCGUUGCUUAGCACGAAAGGAAACAUAUGCAGCAGCAUAUAUGGAGAAGAAAAUGUUACUCAACAGACAAGACGCUCCUCAGACAAGUGUCUUGUGGCAGGAGUAGCUUUCUGGACAGCAACAAGCAUCAACAAAAGAGACACCCGAUUUUUACGUGGAAAACCCCUAAACUUGAGGGGGAAACCAUGGGCUGAAGCCACCCAAAUCCUCUUCCACUAUUAUCAAAUGUGGGAGACAACAAGUUUCUUCUCUAGAUAGCACUAGAGGAUCUCAUACAUCAAGAUUUCAGAAUCUUGGAUGAACACAAAUAAGAUUUGGGGCUCAAGAUCUAGGGAUUGGAACAAUCUCACCAAGGAUGGUGGAACCGCGACUUGAAGGAUACAAGGUAGUGGAUCUGGAUCGUCACAACCUUGGGGAGGAGCUCCCUUUGCUUCUUCCUUCAGUCUUUCUCUUCUUUCCUUUCUCACUUGGUUUUUUCUCUCUUGUUCUCUAAUGGAGAACAAACUGAUUUUUGUCCUGCUAGAUGGUGGCUAUUGGAUGGAGGGUAAAGCAUCCCCAUCCACUCACGUGCAAAGACCAAAAUGACCUUACGUCAUAACCCUAAUGGGUAGUGGGCUUCUUCACCUCUUUGGGUUGUUUAAAAGGCCUCAAAUGUUCAUCUCCUCACAACUCACAUCAGGAGGAUAUCCGAACAAGUCUUGCAAGCUGCAAGAUAUGAUAAUACAACAACAAGUGUAAUGAUGUUAACGAUAAUUCGAUAGGUAUAUAUCUAUCUUCUUGCUUUCAGGAAAAUAAACGAACUUUCUCGCUCCUGAAGCAUUCCCUAUAAAGAGAAAAACAAUAUUCGUAGGGUGCAGUCAAGAUAUAGUAGUGACUUCCAAAAUUCCAGUAUAUAGCUCAGUAACAAAAAGGCUGGAACUUUAGAUCUCCUCUUCGGCCUUUUGAACACCUACCAUCCUGGCAUAGUCCACCCAUCUGUUCAGAAAGUCCAUUGGUAAGUAGUAUUGCCGUAACAGGGCCAAGACUUGUGUACCUGUUGCUAAUACUUACAGUAAAGAAUCCAAGAAUGUGUUCCAUGUCCUAACAGCGAAGCAGAGUGCGCUCAGCAGCAUCUUGUGGCUAUGCAAUACUGGCUCGAACAUCCUCUGCUUAAUUACACUGACAAAAUCUGGUACCUGGUGAGGUAUAUGGUUCUCAUUUUUCUUUAAAUAACAAUGAAGUCGUUAAUAGCAAAGAGACAACAUUAUUUUUAGAUACUACCCUCUGCAAGGGUUGCCCCAUUCAAGAGAAAACAAGAGAAUUGAUUCAAUAGAGGAUUUUUGCUACAUGUGUCAAAUAUUAUGGAGAAUAUGUGUACCUGAGGUUACUAGAAAACAACCAUAUAUAUACCGUAGGAAACAUUAGUUGACACAACUGGAAUGCCCUCAACUUCGUCGUCGAGGCCCUUGUCAUAAGCCUUCCUUGCUUUGAUCUAUGCAUUGGUGACACUACCACCCUAGCAAAAUCUAAGCAACUCCCGCCCCCCUCCGCUCCUAGCAGAAAUCCAUGCAAUUGUUCUAGCAAGAUCCAAAGCAACUAUCCCUAGCAAAAUAUGCAAGCAAUUGUAUUACCAAAACAUAAAGAAAAAUAGUUCCUAACAAAACUAAGCAAACAUAUUACCAAACCAUGAUGCAAAACUGUUCUAGCAAAACUAAACAACUAUCCUACAAAACCAAACAACUGCAUUAUUAAAAACAACUAGGUAAAAAAGUGUCCUAGCAAAAGCAAGCAACUAUCCCUAACAUUACUACUUAGAUUGUCUACUUUAGGCAGAAUAGCCUUUGUGGACAACUAUCUAGCCCCCCUCCCCAUGCAACUUAUCUAUUCUACCAAAAAUCCAAAAUAACUCAAUUAUAAAGAAAACACAAAAGAAAAAAAUGUUCUAGCAAAAAAAUCCAAAGCAACUAUCUAGCAAAACCAAGCAACUGCAUUACAAAUAACACAAAUGCAAAAACCUGUUCCUGCCCCCAACAAAUCACGAGAACUUAACAAAUGAUAAUUAGUUGCCUAACAAUGAUGUCUGGUUGCAUUGCCAUCGCUAAUUAGUUGGCUACGGUACUAGGAGAAGUUGUUUGUCGGUGUAGCUCAUGUUGCCUAUACUCUGAAACAUACUGUUAGCAUCCUCGAUAGUGUGGUAAACAACUUAUAUGUGAAUUUAGUGAACAUGAUAGUCGUGUGAGGCAACUUAUAAGGACUUUUCGUUGAUAGGCAAUCAUAGAAGGUAACUAACAAGAAGUUAUUUUCUUAUUGCACUAAAGUUGCCUCUCUAAAACCCAAAAGAUCCUCUAAAAAAGGUUCCUCGAAACAUAACUAUAUGGAAUCUAGUUUUAAAGAACUCAUCGCGAGAAACCCAACAAUUAAAAGGAAUCUAAAUUACGAUAUUCGAAUCAAAAGUUAUGGCUUCUAAAACUUUAUAAAACCUAAAUAAAUGCGCGUACAUUUUCAUUCUUUGCUUGUACAAAGUAGGAGCGCUUGAAGGGACGAGGACCAGAUACUUUCCUUUUUUUAGUGUAAUGAUGACACGUGAUGCUAAUUACCUUUUAUUGUAGGUCUGUUCGGAUGCAUCCCGUAUUAUGUGAGUUUUUUAUUGCGUAAGGCUCGAAAAAGCCAAUUAGUAUAGUUGCACUAAUAAGCAUUUUGGAUGUUUUUUUUUGCAGUUUUGCUAAAGCACAUCACAUCUAGUUCCUAUAUAAAGAGGAAAGGGGGAAUACAAACCUAUCAAUUAUCUUUUGUAGAUGUCAUGUGAAGUUCGAGCACAACAAGUAGAAAUCACAAUUAUAUGGUACAUGUUAGAAAUCACAAUUAUAUCCUGACCUGACGCUCGUCUCAUUCACCACCACCGCUGCUGCUCCUGCUGGAUUUAUAACAAGAUGAUUUAGAUAUGUCAGUACGUUACGAAGGCAGAGAGAAUCAGAACGCCAAUGGAUGGAUCAGACAUCAGAGUAUUGAUCAGUUGAUGAACCUGUUGUGAUGGGGGAGGCCGACGAUGCAGUAGGAGAGGUCGGACGACGACGCGACGGAGGGGUACGACGCCAUGUCGAUCUCCUCGGCCUUCUGCGGCGACGACGACACCGAGGCCGACUCCUUCUUCCUCCUCCUCCUCCCCGCGCCGCCUCCGCUCCGCGCCUCGCGGUCGCCGCGGGAGAGAGACAGGAGCCUCUCGAACGUGUCCACCAGGUACCUGACGCGGCCCUCGCCGUGCUCCGGGACGCCGGCCAUGGCCUCCUCGAGGGCCGCACUCCACGCCGCGCUCUUCCGCGAGGCCGCCUCCCCGCGCCGCUGUCCUUGCCCGUGAUCCUCCUCGGCGACGUCGCAGGGCGAUGAGAGCCUCGCCCUGACCUUCUUCUCGCAGACCGUGCGCGGGGCGGGGGCAUCAGCGAGCGGAGCGGCGGCGGCUGCCGUGCGCGGGGCGAGCGGCGCGGGGGCGUCGGCGGCCGUGUGCGGGGCGAGCGGGGCGGCGACAUCGGCGAGCGGAGCGGCGACGACGGCCGUGCACGGGGCGAGCGGGGUGGCGGCAUCGGCGAGCGGAGCGGCGGCUGCGGUCGUGCACGGGGCGAGCGGGGCCAGAGGGGGCUUCCGGGAGCAGUUUGCGGCCAAUCGGGGCAGUAUGUUUUUGUUAACGACGAGGGAGUUUUCGUUAGCGACAAGGAUUUCGUUAACAAGAUAAUUAAGUCCGUUGAUUAAGUGAUUAGACGGCUUAGAUUGCUAGUUGGAUCUGCCCUCUCGUGCUUUUAAUAGUACAGAUAAAAAAAAUCAUAUCCUAUAAAUCAAAUGACAUCUCUUUCCCUAUAGGAUUUGAGAUGCCAUGCAUCUCAGUUCCUAUGGUUAUAUUCUUAUACAACCAAAGGAGGACGAAUUGUGCAAAUCAAUAUACACACAUGUAACCAGCAAAGGAAAUUACAGUAUCUGAUUACCAAAUAUUCAACCACAGAAAUAGUAGCGUGUCCCCAGGCGCAACUUAAUUGUUUCAGUACUGCAAACAGAACUCCUCAAAUCUGGCCAAGCUGCAGAAAACAUUAUCUGUAUGCUCAUUUUGAGUAAAAUGUAGUUGAAUGAUAAAAGGGGAAAGUAGAAGCAAAACAAUAUAUCACUUAACUAAACGGGGAAAAGAUCAUCAUGGUCACUGACCUUUUAAGGAGAGGCUUUGGAUUGUAAGGGAAUAAAUCUUUCUUAUGAAGAUCUUCCAAUGUUCUCUUUAACAAAAGGAGGCAUACUUAACACUCACGAAAAGUGGUUCUUUCCUCUUACUUUCCUUGUCAUGAGCGGAACCUAACUUGGUGCCUUCCAUUGAGCUACCAGUGAAACUAUUUAUAUUUUUGAAGAUUCUUUGCCUUUUACAGUUGAGUUUUUGUAUUUGCGCCUCGUAAACUGAGUCGUCAACAAAAGCAUCCCAACACCUGGAUACCAGUCGUAGGCACCUGAGAACAGAGACAUAGAUAUCACAAUGGGGAGCCUACACGUGUCUGUCAUUUGACUGUAUCAGAAAGAAAAUGGAAGCUAGCUGAUCGUAAUAGAUAUUGGGCACAAUGCACACCUACAUCUUUAGCUAUGAGAUAAUCAACAAGUACCAAGUGAUCAUCAUAGUGUAGCUGCAAAAUAAAUAUAACAAACUAUUAACGACUCAAAUGGUAUAUUAUACAGUCAAACAGGAGAAUGGAUUUGGAUGUUCCAUAGAAAAGAAACGACUAAUGGGUCAGCAAAGGCAGGAAUCCUAAAUAACACAUUUGGUAAGUCUCUUACAAAUUGCCGAACAAUCCAUAUGCUUGAAAGAUCUAAUAAAAAAUAUAUUUAUUUGUACUUACGUGCAAAUUGCAACACAUUCCUACAGUCUGAAGUUACGGACUAUCUGUAAUUUACCAAUGCCUACGGUCUCACACUCACUUGGAAAACCAAUAUGCUUAAGUUGGGUACGAGAUAGUAACAAGAGAUGAUUUACCUCUAGCUAUGGUAGCUGAUGUACACUUACCCGGACCUAUUAUCUUGAUUGUUAUUAGAGCCCUAAUGAAUUACUGCCAAUUUACUCUAUGAAGUGCAGUAACCAGAAUUCCUCGGCCAAAAGAUCAUUAUAGGAUGGCAUCUCCUAUCCUGUACUGCAUAAACUACUGGAAGUUUGUUGCUACAUCUUUGAUAACACAACACCAAGAAACCAUGACAGUAUGAAGCUAUUUGCACAAUCAAAUGAACAAGAACUGAUUGUCAUAAUACUGCUUUGCAGAGAUCAAUAAGCAUCUAGCAACUCUAACAGAAUAAGACGUAUAACAUGUUGACUGACUCGGCAAUGAAAGCCAUUGAUGAAAAAUAUAAACUGGGUCAAAAAUGGUGGAGAACAGUUUGGCACCAAUCAGUUCAGACGUCCAUUUAGUUUCCAUUAUCUCUGCAAAUUUGGACAGAAGGUCAUAACUAUAUAAACAUACCUACAGUCUGGAUAACUUUCCAUUAUGAAAUGUUGCAUGGUAUAUCUUCUGCUUACAUUGCCAACGAAAUAAGUGGAGCAUCCAAAAGCUGCAAGAGAAUGAUGAUAUUAAUGAUGAAUAACAUAUCCUCCUGCAAUAUGAAGGAGCAUAUGCCCAAUACUAUAAAAAUUGCUCAAACACAAGGAAUACAUGUUAACACUAAAAAACAAAGCAUUAAGAAGAUAAAGGCUUCAGCAUUUGGCCUGAAGUACAAUUUACAUUGUACAAACGGGGACAAGAGAGGAGAGGAACUGUAUGUGAAAAGAAAAACAUUAGCAAAUCUGAGGUAUAAUGAGCAUGAUAUCUGACUGAUGCUCAAGAUGUACUCAACAUAGAAAGCAACUCCCUAGCAAUGUGCACUAAUAUAGAUCCAAAUAAUCUACUGUGAAGAAACAAACUACCCGCAAAAGGUGACAACAGUCACUUAUGAAGACAAACAGAAGCAGAAAUGCAUGAGUAUGAAGAUAAAACCCAAAUUAUCUAGUACCUAAAAGACAUAAUGAAAAUCGACCAACUCAAACAGAAGCUCGUUUUUCCAUUGAACAAUAAACAAAGUUAACAAGCUUUCUGGUAUUUAGAGCAUAAGCAUACCUCCUCCAUAUAUAACUGCAGAAAGCAUAAAACAAUGUCUGUUGAUGAUUUUGAGUCCAAAAUCUCGUCUAAGCAACAUCUCUGAAACCAAACCGAGAUUUCUGACAAGCCAAAAUAGUUGCAAUUAUCAGUGCAGCCUUGCCCUUUGUGAUCGCUCUUACAUGAACAAUUCAGUCUACUAUCAUUUCCACUGCAAGCCAAGAAUAUCGAACAACUAAGAAACAAAUACAUAGCCUGUCUUUGUAAGUGCCGGGUAGAUUUAUCCUGAAGCUCGCCCAAACCUACACCACUCAACAAAAAUGGGGAUCCUUCUAAACAAUUCUCCAGUUUAGUGCUAUGUUGGAACAUAGGUUCAUGGAGUAGACUCUGAAAGUGGUGUCGAAGUAAUUUCAGCAAACAAACAAUAUGUGAGCAGUUCUGCUGUAUGUGAGGCUUAAGCCUUAUCAUUAACAUCUGCAUUGAGAAAGCAAUGGCUGAUGAGUACUUGGUUACAGAUUGUUUCAACUUCGUAACAAAAGAUUGUUGGAUGUAUGAAAACUACCAAUAUUUUGUGCUUUGAAUACUGAGAGAUACUUUUUGGGAUAUGCUGUUGCUCUUGUAAGUAAGUUGCUAAUCUAAGAAUGACAUCUGCAAGUUUCACAAAUACAUCUCAUCGGUCCAUGUCUUCCAUGUCACUUUGCUCAACUAAAGAGCACAAGAGCUUGAGGAGACUGCCUGACACAAUUCCAAAUUGUGCAGAAUCUUUACUCAAACUAUGUCGGUCAUCCGUGACAAGGCUUACAACUUUCCCCGCAUUGAAUUGGUAACCAGGAUCCCAAUGUAACUUCUGAAUAUGAUAAAUGGACAGGCAAAUGAAUUCAUCUUUCAGUUCAGAGUCAUUGAGUUUCAGAAGCUUCAGAAUAAUGUGUAGUACUCGAAAGAGGUCAAAAGGGACCAAAACAUAAGCAACUGAAAUCCGAAGCAAUACCUGAUCCGAUGCACACCCUUGCUCCCCAUCAUCCACCUUGUCGUGGUCCCAUCCUCGAAUUGCCUUAUUUACCUAUAAUAUAAUUAAUAACGAACGGAAAGUCUAAAAAAAUCAUGGGAAGAACGGGAGAACGGAAAAUGUAAAGCAGCAGUAAAUAAAAUUCUAAAAUCCAAGCUAGAGGAUUACCCGGGAGAGCACGAGGAGUACGCACCGCUCUUCCUCCCGCGAGAGCUGCGGCCGCCGCGUCGCCAGCGAUUCGGGUUCCUGCAGAGGAGGGCGGACAGCGAAAGCGGCGUGAGAGGCUAGCUGGGAUGCCGCAGUUACCAGAUACGAGCGCCCGGCGUUGCUUACGAAGAGUAAGCAGGGAAGUGCGGCAGGCUCGCCAGAGUGGGGGAUCGGACAGCGCCGACGGUGGUGGGGACAGCGGGGGGCGCUGGCGCGUGGCGGCGCUGACGGGUGCGAGCGGCGGAACUGGCGGGGAUGGGCCGAUCCGGCGGUGCGGGGGAGAGCACCGAGCGGCGGCUGCGCGAGGCAGGGGCAGGGCCGAGCGGGCGAGCGAGCGAUGCGGGCGGAGGCAAGCGGCGACGAGCCGGGCGGGAGUUGCGGGCGGGUGCGAGCGGCGGGGGCAGCGGCGGUUGCGCGAGGCGGGGCGGACCGAGCGGCCCAAUUCGCAACACUUGUUCGCUGUAGGAGGAGGUGGAGCACGGUCAGCCUUUGUUAAUUUGGUAACUACACACCGUCGGGCUGAAUGGAUGGUGAAAGGCAGUUAGAUUGUAAUUUGUUGACUAAUUGUGUGGUGGUAAUUGGUGUUUGUUUUUUUGGGGUAAUAGUUGUGUGUAUUUAGAGAAGUUUUCGUUUGAUCUUUUAUUAAUGGUAUAGAUGUUUAUUAAUGGUAUAGAUGAAAACAAUACUUCGAAACAACAGGAACCUGAAACAGGCUCAAAUUUAACUGACCGACUUAGCACCCAUUUGGUUUGAGGUCCACAAUUGUUGGAAGAUUCUUUUUCCCUAAAAGUUAGGUCCCACAUGUCAUUAACUUGGAAAGCGCGGUGCUAUCUUUGAUCACUUAAUCUUAGGCAAUGGCAUAGAUAUACAUGUACGGCGGAUGUAGUCAAACCCAGUAAUAUGAAUCAGGUUGUGUUUUUUUCAUCUAGAAAACCUGUUUUUCUAGGUUAUCUAUCUGCUGCUGAACAUCGAAAUUUCAUUCAGAGGUGGGCAGAACGAGACAACUGAAAUGCUCCAAGGAGCAACAUCUCACUCUAUAUGGCCUUGCAAGUUGCAAGAUAUGUAAGACAAGUACAGUGACGUUCGUUGGCAAUAAUUCGACAGAUGAUAUAUCCAUCUUUCUACUUGCUUUCCUGAAAAUAAAGUGAACUCUGCCGCGCAGAAUUCCCUAUGAAGAGAAGAAUAACAUUCUAGGGCGCAGGCAAGAUAUGUAGCCGGCAUCUAAAUUCCGGUAUAUAUCAGUAACAAAAAGGCUCGAACUUCAGAUCUCCUCUUCGGCCUUUUGAACGCCUACCAUCCUCGCAUAGUCCACCCAUCUGUUCAUACAUAAAGAACAUCGGUGAGUAAUGCUGUCGAAACAGGAUCGCCACUUGUUACAUCUGCGUUGCUCGUGCACUUACAGUAAAGAACCCAAGAAUGUGUUCCCUGUCCGGACGGCAAAGCAGAGUGCACUCAGCAGCAGCUUGUGGUUAUGUAGCACGGGCUCCAGCAUCCUCUGCUCGAUUACACCAGACAAAAUCUGGUACCUGGUGAAGUAUAUGAUUUUCAUUUCUCAUUAAAAAACAAUAAAGCCGUUAACAACAAGGAAACUGUGCAUUAUUUUUUAGAUAUUAGAUAUGAUGCUUUGGGUUUCUCAAGAAAUAUGCUAUGCUUUGCAAUGAUUGCCCCAUUCAAGGUGAAAACAAGAGAAUGGAUUCAGCUUUUAAAUAUUAUGGAGAAUAUGCUUACCUGAGGUUACUAGAAACAGCCAUGUAUAUACCAUAGGCAAUACUAGUUGACACAACUGGAAUAUCGUCAAUUUCGUCGUCAAGGUCCUUGUCAACAGCCUUCCUUGCUUUGAUCAGUGCAUUGGUGACACCAGUACCAACCUGGGAAAGAUGACAAGUUCAGGAAAGCAAGCAUUGGUGACCAUGACUGCUAGAUUGUUUGUUUUCACAACAGAAACGGUCAGAUACAGAAAGAAACCCCAUGUCUGUAAUUACAACACUAUUUCUUCUAAAUGAGGCCGUACUAGAGAAAUAAAAAAUAGAGUUAAAAUAAAUACAUCCUUAGUUACUGUAAGAAAAAAAUUGCCUUACAAAAAACACAAAACAGCAGAAAUAUCUUAUGGUUGAGUUAUUAGUGAGCCUGCGUACUCCAAAGUAAAAGCUCCAGCAUACAAUUUUCUGGAGAUUUUGUGAACAUAUAACACACAAGGUUUUUGAGUCGAUAUAACACACAAGGUUUUUGAGUCGAUACAUGUCCAUAUGCAUUUACCUCGUCAAACAAAAGUUCGAGAAGAGGUUAGAGAUUAUCUGGAUCUUCAAGCAAGUUAGCUCAAUGUUGUGUCGGACAUAUAACACACAAGGUUUUUGAGUCGAUGAGUCGACGAGUCGCUCAGGGGGGGCGACUCUAGACUAGUCUAGACUCAUGGUCGACAAGUCGACAUGCGAUGAGUCGACGGUGAGUUAAGCAGCAGCAACCAGGGGAUGAGCAGACCAACAGAAGCAGCAACCAGGAGAGGAGGGGAGGAGCAGACCAGCAGCAGCAGUAAUCUGGGGAGGAGGGGACGAGCAGCAGCAGCAACCAGGGGAGGGGACGAGCAGCAGCAGCAGCAGCCAGGGGAGGAGGGGACGAGCAGCAAACCAGGGGUGGCGGCGGCUGCCAAGGAGAGGGUUGGGUCGGGGGGACUGGUUCGAUCUAGGUUUCCAGGGGGGAUGGGCAAGCAAAUAGAGUAAAAAGAACAUAUGACAGGUGGGGCUCAAAAAAAUGAGUCGUUCGACCCAGAAACCACGACUAGUCGUGACUACUCGAGACUAGUCGCUAGACUCAUCCCAAGAGUCGAGUCGAGAGGUUGAGUCGACCCUGGAAGUGCUACUCAUCGACUAGUCGAGCGACUCAAAAACAGAGAUAACACAUUACUUUAUUGGAGUCACUAGAAUGGAAGGUUAAAACAUGAAUAGUUUAGCCUGAUGAGAAAAAGUAUGGCAGAGAUCUUUUACAAUGAUAGUACUUCAUUAGUUUCUUGUAGACUUUGUCCGUUUUUUCAAAUUAUUUUCACUAAAAUUUCAUAAUAGGGUCCUCUCCAAGUGUUUACUGCUCGAAAAAAACUGAGAUUGACAUAUUUGCUAACAAAAAAUGUAAGGGAAGUUAUUAGUGAUGAUUAUCAGUUCAUCACAAUACAUCUUUGGUGAAAUGCAGGCUUACCAGAGAAGCGCCAGUUCCAACUGCGAAAAGCUUUGCACCAUUUCUCUGCAGAGGGUCACAAUUGUUAGUUGACCAAUAUCCCCAAAUGUAAGGCCACCAUGUGAGUAUAAAAAAAAUUAGUAUUUUACCACAAUAGCUCCUAGCCUCUGCAGAAUCGAGAAUGAUCUCCCAGCCAAAGCAAUCUGUAAAAAAGUUAGCAUAAGUGUUUUGAUAAAAAGGAAAAAAGACUACAAAGGUGUAAUCAGCUAGAAAAAAGGGUGAAGUUCAGGUUACUUGGAAAGCAUUGUCUGGGCAGUUGUGUAAAAAACUAGUGAUAAGUCCAGCAUUUCUUGCAAGUGGUGGCUGCAGAGAGACAGUUGGUGCUGGAAGAUAUACAAGCAUGAAAUCUGCAACUAUUGCCAUGACCUGGGUAGUACAAGAAGCAACAGAAUUAGAUUUUGUAACAGAUAGUUGAAACUUGGAAGCACAAUAAUUACUUCAUUUAGAAUAAGCUAGUGAAUUAAUUAUUCAUUUAAAUUUAACAAGAUAGCAAGACACAUUUCCAUGAGACAAAAUUGCUAUUCUCUUGAAAGAUCUAGCAUAACUACAAAAAGGCUCCCCCAAGAUAUCAAAUGGUUUAAUAUUACAAGACGAUGUACUGAACUGAAGGCUGAAACUAGCGAAGGAAGCAGAUAAAGUAGAUAUAUUUUAGAUAUUCUGGAAACAGAUAAUUGAAUUACAUUAUAUAGGAUUCAAGCUUCGAUACUAUGAAUCCCAACUUUGUGCAAUUCCUCCUAGGAUCUCAUUGAGGAUUCUCCAGCUUAGAAGGAAAUAUACGUGGUAACGAAAUAACAGAGCGAGAGCACAAAUUAAACUCCUGACAGGGUGACAUCAGAACACUUGGCAAGAAACAUACAGUACUCCGUGGAUCCUAUUUCCCCGUGUUAGAAAUAUAACUGCACUCACUGACGAACAUUACCAUUUAACGACAAACAGAAGUUAACACCCACAGACGAAUGAUCAUGUAAAGACAGUUUCACACCCAAAGCUUGUUUGCUAGUUUGAUUUGGAAGAUUAGGAUUAUUUAUCACAUGUGUACAAAUUGGCCGUAUUCCAGUAGCAGCGAAGAAAAGGCAGGCAUACCACAUCAGCGAUGACGAUGUCAAUCUCCUUGACGAAGUUCUCCCGUCUCUUCUCAUACUCCGCAGCGGUCUACAACAACAAACAGAGCAAGCAGCACACAUCACAAAGGGAAAGCGUCAGAGUGGCAGCAUCGUGCAAUCCGAUUCCAAAACCAACCACGGCAAGAAAACCCAAAAGAAACGUGAUUUUCAGUUUUUCGAAAAUCAGACGAGGAUAAGAUAAGAAAAAUGGGGAAGCACGGACCUUUGCGAUCAUGCCGACGCCCAUCUCCAUGGCGAGCUUGGCGAGGAAGAGGUCGUCGGCGAGGAGGCGCUCCCUGAAGCCUCUGAAGCGCAGCAGCCAGCGGAGCAGCGGCGAGGCGUCCAUCUCGGCGAAGCGCCGCACGAUGUCGCCUGUGACGCGGCCGCCCUCGACUGCCGCGGCCAGGUCGGCCGGCAGGCUGGAGAGCUUCCUCCCCGCCUGCGCCAGCACGAACAGCGCCUCCCCCCGCUGCCCGCCCCACUCGCCGCCGCUGUCCCCUGCUUCGUCAUCCCCUGCGCCGCCGCCACCGUUGUUGUCGUUGUUGUUGUUGUUACCGUCGGAGUAGGAGGGUAGGGCGAGGGGGAGGGUGGGGAGGCGGGGGCGGGGAAUGGCGAGGCGGAGGCGGAGCGGGAGGGAGCGGAGGAGGGAGAUGCGGGAGGGCGCGUGGAGGUGGAGCUGGCCGAGGUGGUGGGGGGAGGAGGGCUGGCGGUGGGCGGAGGGGGAGGAGGGCAGCAUUGGGGAUUGGGAGGGGGAGGCCAUGGCUGGCUGNCGGCAGGGGAGGCGUGGGGGGGCGGCGGGUUUAUGAAUAGUGGGGCGGGGGGGCGGACGCAACGAGGCCGGAGACCGCGGGCCUGUCUGCGUGUUGGGGCCGUCGUCAAAACUGUGUCUGUCAACGAGAGAUUCUGGCUGGCUGGGGCUGGGGCUGGGUCCGUUGGACCUGGGAAUCUACGAGAUUCCUGGGAUGCGAGGCCGGGCCAUCCAUCCAAUCAGCAGGGUGCCGUCCCCCGUACCGUGGGAAGUGGACUUCCCGUCCGUCAGCCCGUACGUCGCGCCGUGCGGGCCGGUGAGAAGCGGCAUGCUUUCACUUUCGCCUCUUCUUUUUCUUUCGGUUGCCGACGCGACGCUUUUGUAGGCGAAUCGCACGGUUACGAUCUUGUGUGCUCACACCUAUGCAUCAUCUACUCCUUCAUUUUAAAAUGUAAGUCUUUUUAACGUAUCAUUAGUUCAUUAAAGGAAUACGUAUGAGUCCCGCUCAAAAAAAAAAAAGGAAUACGUAUGAGUGCAUAUAGACAUAGUUCAGAGGGUAGAUUAACUCAUUUUAUGAAAUUUUUAAAAACACAUACAUUUAGAAACAGAUGGGGUAUAAGGUACUUCCUCUAUUCUAAAAUAUAAGUCUUUUUAGAGAUUUCACUAGAAGGCUACAUACGGAGCAAAAUAAAUGAAUAUAUACUUUAAAGUAUGUCUAUAUACANNNNNNNNNNNNNNNNNNNNNNNNNNNNNNNNNNNNNNNNNNNNNNNNNNNNNNNNNNNNNNNNNNNNNNNNNNNNNNNNNNNNNNNNNNNNNNNNNNNNNNNNNNNNNNNNNNNNNNNNNNNNNNNNNNNNNNNNNNNNNNNNNNNNNNNNNNNNNNNNNNNNNNNNNNNNNNNNNNNNNNNNNNNNNNNNNNNNNNNNNNNNNNNNNNNNNNNNNNNNNNNNNNNNNNNNNNNNNNNNNNNNNNNNNNNNNNNNNUAAAGUAUGUCUAUAUACAUCCGUAUGUACUCCUUUCAAUUAAACCUUUUAAAAUACUUAUAUGUAGGAAACAGAGGGAGUAUGAUUUUUAUUUUCUUCUUUCAUUUCCGACAUCAUGAUCCAUUGAAUAGACACAGACCCAAACAACCUCAAUCCAACAAUCCAGAUUGCUCCGAUGGUGAAUGCCCAACGUGUUUAGCGUGUAAUUAACACCAUGUGAAAUGUCAACAUUAAUGUUAAUCAUGUCAUUAAUACCCCCCCUCCUUAAUAACAGUAUGCAAUCACUAUUAUAUACCAUAUAUACUUCCUCCGUCACGGUUUAGAAGGCACAGUUAAACUUGCGGGCGUUUCUAAAAUAGACAAGGUUUAAGGCGUGAAACCAAUUACUCUCGUUAAUUAGUACUAGUACUACUCAUGCAUCCGUCCUCCUAAUUUGCUGCUCACGCAUUAGUACUAGUAUUUUCUCAGUUAAUUAGGCGCAUUAGCAUCUACACCUACUACAUCUCACAACCAAUCGGUGACUACCUUGGUUCCAGAUAUUUUCCAAGCAUGCCUUCUAAACCGCAAUGGAGGGAGUACUAGUCACUAGCAAGGUAACUUUUUGGGCCCACGGUCGUAUUUAUGGAUAGAGAUCAGAAGAAAAGAACUUAAUUUGCAAUUCCGUCCUAGUAUGAAAUCAAAGGCAACAUUUGUGGAACAAGUUGCAUUUUCAUUGUGAAAUAGUAUUGUUAAUUUCUGAAAUAUAUGUGAACUGCUUGUGCAACAUUUUCACAAGUUGUGAGCAAGUGUGUCGAGUUGAUUUAGAUUCCCUUGAAAUAUCACUGGAAUAGCUAUAUAAUGUUUUUUCUAGAAAUUGGGUGAAAUGGAUGUGAACUUCAUUUUUCCUUCAGUAGUUAUGAAAUAUGUUGAAAUUCUAAAAUCAUGCCAGAAUUUCUUGUUUUCUUGUGAAAUGUACUUAUUUUUAUUGAUUUGUUAAAAAUGCACUUCUAAUGCAUUCUGGUAAACUAAACCAUAUACUACGCUGAAACAUUUAAAACACACAUUUGAAAAUAUUCCUAUCGUGUUUCCUUUUAAAAUAUAUGUGUUUAAUUGGAAUUUUCAAUCAUUUACUAAUUAUGGAUCCCGUCAACAUUUUAUUACGAAGUGUGUCAAAAAUGUUGAAUACAAUGUAAUUAACGAAAUUUUAUCGAGGUGCUUUCUAUAACAAAAAUAUAUUGAGGAUAAUCUCAAAGCAGACCGCUCUUUUUUCCAUUUUUGGAACUAGACUGCUCCCAACGUUUUAACCCAAACUAGGAAGCAUGCACGUGCAACGCACGUCUUUGCAGUGACAUGUCGGAACAACGACCGCAAAGCGGUACCGGCUGAGUGUGCAAGGUGUGUUGGAGCAGUGGACGUUGGUUGGCAGUCCCGAGAGAUUUGUAACUUCAACGACAUGGGCCUCAUGUCAUGUGGGUUAUAACUAUUGCAGGCAUGUGGAAUACGUCCCUCUUCAUCACCUCAGGAGAGUGCCUCAUGACUUCUUUUCGGAAGUGAUGUUAAGAGUGGUUUAUUCAACGGAGAGAAUCCCCUAGCUAGUGUGUGUUUGUGUGGUUGGCCUUUGUCAUGGCAUUUGGCACACUAUCUAGAGUGAGCUUGGGCCCUUUUAGUUUGGUUUUUGUCUGGCUUUCAUCAUUAAUUGGACAAUCUUCCACUUAAUGAAUGAAACGGCAAAGCUUUUGCUUUCUGUUUGAAUUUAUUUGUAGUCAUGCCCAUUUGCUCAACUAAAAUUUAGAUCUAUCUAAUGUUUUUUACCAGUAGGCAUGAUAACGUUUAUGUCUCCUUUGAAAAUCCACACAAGAUAAAACUUUUUUGCUUCCAAGCAAUCCCCAUCUAGCAUGACCAUCUUUGGGUUUCUCAUGAAUAUAAUAUUUGUUGGAUUAAGUCAAAAAGGCAUUCCGGUCUUGCAUACACCCAUUGGGUUCUUCGUUAUGCCGCUGGAAGAAAUCCUUUCUUGUUUGCCCUUCAAAACGAAGAAUGCUUGCCAAUGUUAUCAGCUUAUACUUUAAGAUGACGUCCCGCCUAGACACAGACCCCAAGAAUAAUUUUGUCCAACUGCAUCCAAUCAGGUAUGACAAGACCGCGGGGCAUGGUGAAACCCCAUAACCAAUUGCACGACGAAGAAAUCAAAAUCUCCCAUCCAAAACCCCUUUGGUAUCGUCUCAAUUGGUCAUCCUUCAUAAAACCCUAUUAAAAGUCACUGAAACAAUAUCAAAACAGUACAGCUGAGUUGCAUCAAUCAAUACCUUGUUGCCUGGAUCACUUGUUUCUAGGAAAAUUACACGAGAACUUCAUGUGCCCACGACAUUCAAGGUUCAAAGCUCACCCUAAGAGUAGUUUGAGAAUCAAUUAGGGAGAAGGAUUUCAGAGUGAUUUUGUCUGCAUCUGUAGCUAAACCUGGACACAACAUUCAAAGAAUUUAUGAUUCAUUUAUAAAUAAGUUGGACAUGUGAGGUGCAACGCAUUAGUAACGAAACAAUUUUCUGAAAGAAUCAGCAAAGUAGAACUUAUGAGGUUUCAUUAUGUACCUCCAAACAAAUUCUCUAAAAUAAUUUUCCAGCUCUUAGUGGUUCUCUCAGGACUUGGUGGACGACCUUGUAAGAAGAGCACAACUGUAGAUGAAUCAAUUAACAGAACAAUAGGAAGAUAACAAAUUAUAUCGAAUAGCAAAGAACAUGUAAGUUAACAUGAAAAUAGGACGCCUUUCUACAUCAUUACAAUGUAUCACUAUAUAUAAACCAAAUUAAGUGCUCUAAAUUCUUGACCUGUAAAAGAUAGUCAAAUAUUAUUUAUACAACAGGAACCAUGUUAUGUUUCACCUCAAUUUUGUCUACCAUUAUGUAUUCAACUCUAUCAAAAUCCAACAAAAUUUAGCAUUAAUUUUCAAUCUAGUUUUCACAUCAUCUACAUCGAAGUGAGAAAAUGUCCAAUAUCUUCUCUCCUCCAACUUCCCAUAAUUCCCUUUCUUUAAGCUGAGAACUCCGUAGCACUGUAUUUGUAUUUCUUAUAGGCCGAGAAACAAUAUAUAUAAUUAGCAUAUGGACUAUAUGUAAUCAAGUGGUCACUAACUCACAUAUAUUGUGCAGAUAUCUUCUAUACCCCUCGUGUAUGACACAUCAAGCCCAGUAGAGUUUAAAAUGUUGAGAACUGAUCCAAUUAACACAAAGAAUCAAACUAAAUCUAGAUUGAUUUCUAAAGUCAAAAGGAUAAGAGCAAGAGAGCAUACAAACGAUGUAUGUUGCUUCCGCCUACUGCAGGAUGCCUCAGCUGCACUUUGGUCAGUGGAUUCGUGGAGCCGUGCGUGUGCGUCUACGCCAGCGCUCGCGUGGUGAACAAUGUACGUGCACUGCUCUGGCAGAACCUGAGGUAUCGAUCGCUAGCCUGCAACAAAUUAGCUUCACCUUGAUGCACCGCUACUUGUAUUACCUCAUGCAGAUGCGGAUUAUACCUCCUAGUUAGCACUAAACAAAAUUAUUUACUUUGACGCAUGUGCAUCACGGAGUCACCAAGUACCUCCGGCCCGGACUGGCAGUGUGCACUACCAUCCUAAUUAACACAGACUGAUGGAUCGAUCUCACACACAUCCUUAUAGCUGAUCUGGGUUCAGCCUUUGGGCAGUUGAAGGAAGGAGCACAUGACGAGGUCGGGGCCUGAUUUUGGGGGCUUGGGCGGUCACCCAUUCCAUUAGUGAGUGGACCGAAAAUCUAUCCACUUUAGAGUCAGGUUGAAGAAUAUAUUCUUUAACAGUAUGCAGAGCUUCCUUCAUUAACCCACUCCUCACAAAACUCGGGAGGAUAGUACACACGUUGCGUAAUCUGGAGCAAGAACCUUUUUCAUCUGACGAAACGUCCAGAAUGCCUCAUCCAAUCUGUCCUCUUUAACAAGACCAUACAUCACGGUGUUGUAAGAUGAAAGGUCGGGCAUGCAACCGUUCAUUGUCAUACUGUAUAGCAUGUCCAGUGUAUAGUUCACCUCCCCAUUUUUGCAGAGACAAUCCAGAAACAUUGUUGUACGUUAUUAUAUUAGGUGGAAAGCUAUAAGAGUUCAUUCCUUCAAGCAGUUGUAUUACCUCCUUGACUUUACCUUCUCUUCCUAAUCCUGCCAAAAGUGUGUUGUAAGUACAGUCAAUGGGUUCAAGGUUCAUUUCUUUUAGUUCAUAGAAGAUUCUAGGCUUCAUUUCCCAUGCCUUGUACAUCAUAUCAAUCAAAGAGCAUGGAAGACGUUUGUUUUCAAUCAUUUCAGCGAAGAUCUUCAUGGCCUCAUCAACAUUCGAUGCCUUGCUGCAACACCUGAUCAUCAUCGUGUAGGUGAUAUUAUCUGAAGAAAUUCCCAUAGCUUUCAAUUCAUGGAAGACCCUUUUUGCCAUUCCCAGCCUCCCAGAUUUAGCAAGACCAUACAAAACAGCAUUACCAGCAACAACAUCUGGAACAAUCCCUUUGCUCUUCAUAAGCUCGUACCUUUUAAGUGCUUUCAGAGAUUUGCCAGAUUUUCCAUGGUAGUUUAUAAACAGAACAUGUGUGUAGCCAUUUGGAGUAGGACCAUGAAUAUUCAUAUGGUUGACCAGCUCUAGAGAACCGUUAAACCUAUCAGCUUUAAGAAAUUCAGAUAUCAAGGAG
This 50551-nucleotide long non-coding RNA is filed under the name Hordeum vulgare. RNAcentral's name for it is "long non-coding RNA (HVUL_LNC008248)". The record is from RNAcentral. Lineage: Eukaryota; Viridiplantae; Streptophyta; Magnoliopsida; Poales; Poaceae.